AUGAAUCUUGUUUCUCUUUGUCUAAUUUUUAAUUUUUAUUGAAUCAAUUGUUCCCUAAUUUUGGUUUUUGUAGAUACAAUCAUGGAAAAAGAUGAAAACCAUUGAUUAUUUUUUCAAAAGAAAGAUUGAUGAUGAAAAAAAAAUUUGUUUUUGUUUUUUUUGUAAGAAUGUUAAUUUUAAUUGAACUUGCUUUUUGUAGAUACAAUCAUGAAAAAAAAUUGUUUUUUUUUUGUUUUUGGAAAAAUCUUGUUUCUCUUUCUCUUCCCUUGUUUUUACCUUGAUUACAUUUAGUUAUUCUUACAAAAUACUCUUCUAGCCUACUUGAACUUGCUAAUGAGAAGUGUUCAAUAUUUAAGCUUGCAUUUGUAAAUUGUCUGCCCAUUAAAAAUAAUAUAACAAUUACAUCACAAUUUUGCGAAAUAUUACACAAAAACAAAGAAAAUAUCUUUGAGAUAGAUUACAUUACAUGACAUGAGACGAACAAGAAAAUGAAAGAUUCAUCAUGUAGCGCGAAAUCAGCAAUUGAUGUUUAAUUGAUCUGGAUCUUGAAAUGCAAAAGAGCAGAAGUGCCAUCAAUUCCUUUUGCUCUGAAGUAAUCCACAUAUUCUUUUGCUGUUGUGCCUCUAUACUUGGCUGGAUUAUCUUUCGAAAGCAACUCCUUGAUUGGUUCAAUAACUUGCAAGGUCUCAGUCAUAAAGAACGAUGCCACUGAUACUCUUGGAUCAACCUUGUUUGCCACCACCUUGUGUCGUGAACUCACAAACUUGUCAUUUGUAACUAGCUAAAUUAUUCCAUUGAUUGUAAUCAGUGUCAUAUUAAAAAAAAGUAGGGUAUGCAAGCAGCGGAUGAGCAUAUGUAAUAUUAUUAUAACUUUUUAGAGUCGCCAACUCCCACAUACUCUACACCUUUCAUCCGGAACCCUCAAUCUUUGGUUGAGGACAUCUUUAUGUUAAUUCCUAAUACCCUAGGGCCAUAAGUUCUUUGGUAUGAAAUAUUAAUAUUUAAUGAGUAAUUUUUUUCAUAAAAAGAUCUACACUUCAUAUAAAAAAGAUUAAUUGAUGCAGUUGCAUACCAAUAUUGCAACGAUAUUAAGCUUGAGAUAGAGAGAAAUGCAUGCCUGUAAAAGAUCUCCAGCAUUCACUAUAAGAGCUCCUUGUUUAGGAUGAACAUCGAUCCAUUGGUUUUGAUACAAGAUCUUAAAGCCACCAACAUGAUCUUGUAGAAGAAUCGUGAUGAAAUCGUAGUCAGUGUGGUCGGGGGCGCCUAUUGUUAACUCUGGUUGUGGGCAGGGAGGAUAGUAAUGACCGAGGACAGCAAGCCCUGCGCCACAUCCCAUGUCUAAAAGGUGAUUUGGGUCGAGCCCUAGAGCCUCUGACGUCAACUUCAAUAGACAACUUCCGAGUUCUAUCACUUGUCUAGAGUACUCCGAUAAAAUAUCUCUACAGAUAAAUCCCAAGGAAACAAAAAUAUGGAUAGUUAGAAUUUGCAUUUGAAUUCUGUCUCCAUAGUUAUAAUCACGUCAUGUUAAAAUAAUUACAUGUAUAAUACUAGGAUCGACAAGCUUUGCGGAAAUUAACAAUUAGAGUACAGUUAUUUUAUAAUAUCAGAUUAUCCAUAUUUGAUGGUUAAUAUAUUAGUCCGCAAACAUUGAAAAUUUGAAAUAAAAUCCAGUACUUUUGAAUUUUGAUGUUAAUUUGCAAGAUUUUUGGCAACUAAUGUGAUGCUUAUAAUUAAAAUCCAGGUUUAUUUAUUAAAAUUGGAAAUAAUUGGAAAUAUCAAUAAAGUAUAUCAUCAUGCACAAUUGGAAGCACUCGGCAUGAUUCCACUUCGUUUUUAAUCUUAAAACUGUAUUAUGGAAGGAGUUCGAGGUUCUUGUGGUUGGUGCGAUUUUUAUUUUCCUAGUGUUUUUUGAUUUGUCGAUCAUGUACCUGAACCAGAAAUAAUUGGCAUGAGGGAUGGCUUGAUUCAAUCAGUGUUAUCAGUAUAAUUAACCUGUAUGCUAAGCAAGGUGCAUUAUAUAGCGGACGUUUAAAAUAUUUUUGCACAAGUCACAAGUUUUAAUGGCAAUGAAAAGGAAAUCCCAUCACUGGUCGUGGGUUUUAACCCUUAUGUGAACCUGGGUCACGAAAAGAGCAAUGUUGAUUGGAAUUUCGAUGUUAAUGAGAAGGGUAGACGUACAAUGUCUUAUGUGAUGUGUUUGGGGAAGGGGAGUUGUGAAUCACAAAAUGGUUCCACAUCGAGAAGAAAAAGAUCAAUCUUGAUCAUAAUAUCUUCUUGUGUGGCACUUGGUAAUAUUUGUGAAGUUCUUUGUAUCAGUUAUGCAAUAAUGACGGCUUCAUUGAUUUGGAGAUUUUGUAUGUUGGUGGUAUUUGGGUUUGGUUGUAAUUCAAGUCAUCUAAAACUUGUCUAAAGUUUGUAUCAGCAUUCAAACGAUGUUCAAGGAGAUGAGGUCGUUACUCGGGUCAAGGAAAGUAUGGUUUGGGUUGAAAUUGAUGGGCUUCAUUUAUUAGCUUGGAGUUCAAAUGUAUUUAAUAAAAUGUAUGGGCCUCUUUGAGGGUGUGCUAGGUGGGUAACCGCACAUGACCCAUAUUAUAUAGAGGGGCGAUUUUACAUACGAUUCAUUAUGUUGUCCAACUAUCGACAAUCCGGUAAUUCAAAAGACAAAAGUUCAUGUUUUGUUCCAAUUCUAAGUGCUCCCACUACAAUUAAACAUUGCAAUUAGACCUGACAAUGGAGCGGGUUUGGAGCGAAUCGAUCUCGAUUCAAACCCUUUUAACAAAUUUCAAAAUCCGAUCCAAACCCGCUACGUAACCCGCAAGGUUUUGAAUAGUCAAAUCCAUACCCUUAUCCACCGAAUCGACAUAUAUCCAAAACCGCCCCGUAACCCGUAGGUUUUUUGAAAAAUCAAACAUAUUUUUCAUAAAUCUUAAAAUAACAUUUAUCAAAUAAAACAAAUGUUGAUUUAGAAAACAUAUUACAUACUUGAGGACUUUCGAUUGGAAUUAAAAUCAUUAUUGUAAUAACUUCUUAUUGAUUUUUGACCGUCGAUUGCAUUGAUAAAGAAUGACAAUUACGAACUUUCUUUCGGUUGAUAAAUGACUUUAUUGAUAUACAAAUGAAAUUGGUGUUUGCUUGAUAGAAUACAAAUGAAUGACAUCAUGAUUCUUAGUAGAUGAUUGGAAGACUAGAAAUCAAGUCCUCGAGACCCAUGUAAAAACAAUUUAGUCUUUGGUCUUUUCUCUUUGGACUUUCGAUUGGAAUUAAAAGUAAACUUUAGGUAGUAUAAAAUAUAAAUAUAUAAUUCUAAAAAUUAUACGGGGCGGGUUAUAAACGGAACCGAUCAAUGAUGAUCCAUACCCAACCCUUUUAAUAAAAUGGUUAGCGAGUACGGGUCGUUAACAGGUAAACGGAUAAAAAACUAUGCUCCAAACCCAUAUAAUUGUUAAGGGUUUGGAUCGGAUCAGGGUUAAAACCCGCUCCAUUGCCAUACCUAAUUGCAAUAACUCAUGUUUUACAAUAUUCGACAUAAAAUAAAAAAUUGCAUUUGGGCUAAUAAUGUGCUAAUGUAGAUUUGCGGCAAGCAAGAGCUUACGUUUUGUUUCGAUUUGAAAAUUCAAAACUUGCGGCAACUGCAAAGCUUAAGCAAUGUUUCUUAUUUUUUUUUUUGGAUUUUUAUGCCACUAUACUUCACCUCUAGUUUCUAAUUGCACUCCCACUUUUUUUUAUUUUUUUUUUUUUUUAUUUUUUUUUAUUGUCGAUUGAAAUUAAACGAGUAUUCUACUAUACAUAGUUUUUGAAUCUGAUGGCCUCUUGUAUUUAUAGUUUCGUUGUUUUUGAUGAUUAACAAAUGUAACACACAUAUGUUGAUGAUUGAAUUUCGGACUUCACAUUAGUGCAUUAUAAAAUCUGAUUUAUGUUUUCAGUGAUUUCUCUAAUUUCUAGCUCCCUCUAGUUUCUAUAAUCAUGUUCAUGUUUUGUGGCCUCUGCAUAGUUGAUUAGAAUAAUGUUUAUGAUCCAAUUCAUAGGAAUUAUGCCUCCUAAGCAUCUAUCGGGCUGUGAAAAAAGUAAAGAAAAAGAUGAAGAACUAAGAAAGUAUAAAAAUGGGGCUCAUACUAGGUUUAUCCAAAAAUAACCUCCAAGUAUCUUCUUAGAAUUAAAAUAUAAGAAUCAAAACAACGGCGAUAUUAAUUUUGAUAAUGCAGGUGUUAAUAAAGAUCAAAACUGAAGUUGUAAAGUCCUACUUACGCUCCACAAUGUCACAAUAAAGACUUAAUAGAUUGACAAUGAUAGCUAUUGAGAAUGCUAUAUUGGAGAAUAUUUAUUAUGAAGAGUUUGUGACCAACUUUGCUUCUAAGAAUGUUGGGAGAGUCUCAUGAUUCAUAUAAUUAUGUAAGAUUAUAUAUCAUACCAUCGUUCUUUUGUCCUAAUUUUUUAUAACAUUUAUGGAGUUAUCGUAGUAUAGACGGAUUUUGCUUGUACAUAAAAAAGUAUAUUUAGAGCUCCAUUUUUUUACAUGACCCUCAAGAUCAAUGGGAAGCCCCAUAUUAUAUGGGGCUAAAUGAGGGAAAGUGAUGUUCAUGGAUGACGUCCAUGAUGAAAACAUAUGUUGUGGGUGGGUUUGUAUUAACACGUCAUAUAACAAUUUCAUCUACAUGGUAUAGAUGGUUUGCAUUAUACAAUUCCGAUUUAGUAAAUUUCCUCCUAUAAUUGUUCAAGAGGAAGGCUUUUCGAAAAAUAAUUAAUAAAAUUCAUAUGGAUCUUAUAUUGGAUUAUAAGAUAAAGAUGAUAACGAAGACUUUGAGGAUUAGUGAGUAUGAGGAUGGGUUUCUAAUAUGUUUGUUAUAGAGUAUGAACUCUAAUGAAAUUCAGAAUAAAGAGAAGUUAAAUAAUGAUAUAGAGAUAUAGCAAAUCAAAGUUAAACCAAGAUGAUGUCAUUAAGAUGUCUUGGAAUCCUAAAAUCGUGGGAUCCAAACACUUGCUGAACAAGUAAAUUGGUUUAUUGCAAUGUAGCACCUGGUUCCUGGUAUGUAUUUUAUUUAAGUAUUUUGCAUUUUUGGCCUGGGACUCGGCGAGUUGAAGGCCCAACUCGUCGAGUAGAAGCGGAUUGGAUGCAGGAUUUAAAUGACGAACUCGUCAAGUCGGCCUCCAGACUCGAUGAGUAGACUCUGACUGGAAAAAACCCUAAUCUAAGGGUUUGCACCCUACUUAAGCAUCUCAUUCAGCCACCCUUCGNCCCUAUUGCUCCCAUAAACCGCCCCCUAGCAAACCCUAACUGUGUGUGUGAAGAUCUAAAGGCAUUUGUGGUGAUUUUGAUCACAAGGAAGAAGGAAGGGCCUAGAGGGAUCAAGAGAAGACCAAGGGAAUUUUAGUUUGUGCAUCUUUUGCAGUUCCUAGAAGGUAUAAAGUCAUUACCUUGCUUGUUCAUUUGCUAGAUCCCUUUUUGGGGGAGAUUUAGGGCUUUUAUAAGCCAUUAUUGGUGACCAACCAUGAUUGCAAGCAUGAUUGGGGGUUGAGGCUUCAGAUCUAGGUCCAUGAAGGAGUUACAAGGCAGAAAAGGGCUGCUUUUGCACCCAUGGAAGCCCCCAUGCAACUUGAGAGUCUCUUUUAGAGCCUUUUAGGCUCAAAGUCCCAUGCAUGCACAUAAAGUUCGUAACUUUACAUACUAGAUCAAGUUUAGGGACCUAGAUCUAUCAUUUGGACAAGAGUUGUACACCACAAAUCGAAGAAAUAGACUCAGUAUCGACNAGUCGUUCUUGGGACUCGGCGAGUCCGAGGUUAGACUCCCUUUUUCUGUUAUGGGUCAAAGAGACCCAGUGGAGUGCUGGAAAUGUUUUAGAGGGUCCAGGGGAGUGACCCAACGUAUUGGGCUAAGCCAUAGUCCUGGAGUUCAUAGGACUCGGCGAGUCCAAGGCAAUCUCCCAACUCUUGAAGAUGAACUCGACGAGUUGUUCAUACAACUCGGCGAGUCGAGGACAAGACUGGUUCUUAGGAUGAGGAUGAACUCGAUGAGUUGUUCAUACAACUCGACGAGUCGGAUGAAGGUUCAUUCGAUGCUCGUAUAGUAGGCGAACUCGUCGAGUCAUUUCUAAACUCGACGAGUAGAGACGUGGAUGAGGAAAGUUAAAAGGUUAGGGACUCGACGAGUUGGCGGCCCAACUCGGUGAGUCAGGUCAACUAGAAGUUGACAUUGAAUUUGAAUUUGACUUUGACUUUGACUAGGGCUUGGUCAGGGGUAAACUAAUCAUUUUACCUUAAGAGUAGAUAUCAGAUUCUGACUGAGUGUUUUGUGGGGAUUAUAGCCGGAGGAUUUCCGGAGCAGCAGCAGACACAUAUUUCCCGCACAGAUUAUCAGCAGCUACUCGUAUGAGGUAAGUUACCUUCCAGUAGCGGUGGGUCAAUGACCACAAUUCCGGCCCACUAGUAGGAGUUGUAUGUUAGAUGAUCGUCUUUGUGAUAUCAUCUAGGUUUGCUACUACCUGAUAUGUUGUAUGCUGGCAUGAUAUGUUAUAUGUGAUAGCAGUAGAGUUCGGCUGUUAGGACCAAAGGGUAGGUCAGGCACCCCAGAUAUGUCUGACAGUAUUUUAUGACAUGUUUAUAUGCUGGCAUGAUAUGUUCUAUGUGAUAGUGGAAGUAGGAGGGGAAUAGUCCCCAAGUUCGGUUGUUAGGACUGAAGGGUAGCUCGAACACCCCAGAUAUGUUUGAUAGUAUGUUUAUAUUAUGAUAUAUGUGAUUGUAGCAGUAGGGGGCGGAAUAGUCCCCGAGGGUCGGUUGUUAGGAUCGAUGGGUAGGUCAGCACCCCAGAAUGACUUGACAUGGGUAGUCAGCACCCCAGAACUGUUUGACACGAGUAGGUCAGCACCCUAAAAUGGCUUGACACAGGUAGGUCAGCACCCAAAAUGGCCGUACCGGGUAGGUUGGGCACCCCAGAAUUGCUUGGCAGUAUGUAUGAUAUAUGAUUGUAUGGUAUGUGGUACGAUGGGGAACUUACUAAGCUUCGUGCUUACAGUUUACAAUUUUGGUUUCUGGUACUUCUUCAGCGAAGGGGAAAGUGUUGGCGCGGUAGCAGUACAUCAUACACACACGCAUUGAUUUUCUGCACUUGAGAUAUUCUGGGAUUAUACUCUGACAUGUUGCUAUUUUAUGAUUUCGGUUUUCAGACAUGAUAUACUGAUUUACGAAAUGAUAUAUUUUUAUGUAGUUUUCUUAUGUAUGUUUUUAUAAUCAGUUAAUUAAAAUGAAAUUUUUGGACUCGAAAUUUAGGGUGUUACAAGUUGGUAUCAGAGCCCUGGUUUGAGGGAUUCGAACACACCCUCAGGGGUGUCUGGACUCAAAUCGAGGGAUUAAAAGCUUUUUACAAGAAAAUGGUUUUCUAAAAGAUAAGUUAAAGGAGUUUUGAGAAAGAACGAAGUGUGUGAUGUGCGUGACCGGCCGAGCUCAAGUAAGUAUUCCCCAAGGUACCCAUACAAGUUUAUGUUAUGUUUAUCAGCUUCAGCAGAACAACAUGCUAGAAUAGGACUAAGGAUCUAGGAAUGAUGCCUUAUCUGCCUGCUUUAUGUGUUUCAGCUUAUGAGAAUUGCAUGCUAGUAUUGAAUAGAAAAUAGUAGGAUAGCAUGUUUAGGUUAUGCCUGAUAGUAUGAGCUUAGCAUUGUAUGCUAGUGCAGUUUCCUAUUAUGAGGAUAGGAUUGCUUGAGAUCCUUCCGUUUUGUCUGAAUGUUGCUUGGUUUGUGCUAUGUGGGACUCUGAGUGAUGGGAGUUAGCUAUUAGGUGAAUAUGUUAAAGUCACAUGUGAUCAGGGUUGGAUAAUCUUAGAGGAUGGGAUUUGACCCUAUUUCGGAGCUCUUGUUUGAGUCAUAACCGUUGUAGGGAUGAGUCCCUUACUCGAAGGAUUAUCCGGACCUCGUUGUAUGUGAUUGUAUUUAGGUAAUGGCUAAUUGGAAUUACGAAGAAGCCUUCAGCAGCUGAGGACUGGUUAGGGUGGGGUCAGAGGUAUCCUAGGGCGAGCCUAAGAUGGGAAUAACAGAGAUCAGUAGUAGUAGAAGGGACUUGGUGGAGUCGAGGUGGUUCUUGAGGAAAGUACGGAUAGAUGUGAAAGGUAGUACGGGCCCGUACUACUGAAAGCAGAGGAUCCGUACUUGAAUCGAGGAAGGCUGAGGCAAGACCAGGGAACUUGUGAUGGAUGUUAUCCCUCUAGAUGUAUCAGUAUCACUGACGGUUGUCAUUAUGUAUUGCAGAAUGGUAGUACUACGUCCGAGGCCAACAGUUGGCAGCUCAGGAGAGGGAUCGGGUUCGGGCUCAGGUUCCGAACCAGUGGAUAAGAGGCUACGUGAGUUCAUCGCGUCCGAGAUCACUAGAGGUAUCCUUGAUGCGACCCCAGUCAUCUUUGAGUCGAUCAAGGAAGGGAUUGUCAAGCUGAUGAAGGAUCGCCUCCGGGCGUUUAGGAGCGACAUGGCGACCGGCCAGUCGGUAUCACGCAUACUGUCCUUUAAGGAAUUUAGGGCCAGUAGUGCACCAGAUUUCCAUGGGGCGAAGGACCCCAUUGCAGCCAGGCGAUGGAUUACAAACAUUGAGUCUGCAUAAUUGACCAGCUUCUGCCCCGAGGGUCGAAGGUGAGAUAUGCAGCAAGGUGCUUGAGAGAAAGGGCCAGAGAUUGGUGGGAGUCGGUUGGUGACUCUCUGGGAGCCUCGACUGUUGUGGCUAUGACGUGGCCGGACUUUGUGACCCGAUUCAGGGCAGAGUUUGCACCUGCAGUGGAGCUCUAGCAGUUAGCUAGGGAGCUCUUAGACAUGAGACAAACUACGGAGACUGUGGAAAAGAUCACCGCCAAGUUCCGGGAGAGGGCGUUACUGGUGCCCCGUUAUGCAGGAGAUGAGGACAUGAGGAGUACCCACUACCAUAACAUGCUGCGAGCUGACAUUCGGGCGCAUGUUAGUUUUUCAGCUUGCCUUACCCUGGAUUCCAUGAUUUCCAUGGAAAGGGAGAAGGAGAUUGAUUUGGAGCACAUCCGGAAGAGGAAGGUAGAGGAGGGGUAGGUGACUGGGGCUUCGGGGAAGAAGCCCAAGGGAUCAGAUGGUAGGCCGAAAGGCCAAUCAGGACAGGGCCGCUGCAGGAAAUGCGGCAGGCCACAUAAGGGAGCUUGUAGGCUGGCAUCGUCGGGCUGCUAUAAGUGCUGCAAGAUGAGGCACUUCAACAGGGAUUGUACCGCCCCUGCACCCACUAUUAAGACAUUCGAGUUGUUGUGUUUCCACUCCAAUUAGAGGGGCCAUAAGAAGGCCAAUUGCCCCCAGUUGGCAGUAGUGCCAGUGAAGGCGCUAGCUCCAGCGACUGUGCGGAUCACUGAUGGACGGCAGGGCAAGUUAGAGGCUCCAGUGGUGAGGAGCCGGGCCUUCCAGUUAACUACCGAUGAGUCACGCGCCGCACCCGAUGUGGUGACGGGUAUGAUUCUUUCCCUCUGAUUUAUUUAUUUGAUACUUAUGAUAUUGAUAUGUGCUCUGUGUAUACGUUUAGGAUCGUUCCAUGUGAACGGUAUCCCAGUGCAGGUGUUGUUUGACUCAGGUGCCACUCAAUCUUUUGUUUCCCUUGCACUUAGCAACAGGUUUCCUAAGUCUUUGGGCAUGUUGGAUUGCCCUUUAGAGGUAGAGAUAGUCGAUGACCGAUCGGUGCAAGCAUCAAUAGUUUUCAGAGAUUGCGUACUGAGGUUAUUUGAGGAGCGCUACCUAGUAGACUUGGUUCCCAUUCCGUUGCGUGGGAACAAGGUGAUUAUAGGCAUGGACUGGUUGAGGUAUAAUGGGGCGGUGAGAGAUUGUGCACAACAGCUAGUCCGAGUCAGGACCCCAGGUGGGCGAGAGUUAGUGAUCCACGGCGAGAGGCCACAACAUGGACCCACAUUAUGUUCAGCAACGAGAGUUAGGCGCUCCCUACAGCAGCGUUGCGCUGUGUAUGUUUCCUAUGUUAUGGAUACCCAGGAGGCGGGUAAGACAACGGUGAGUGACGUUCUGGUGGUGCGAGACUACACGAAUGUUUUCCCAGAAGAGCUUCCCAGGAUACCUCCGGAACGCCAGGUGGAGUUCAAGAUCGACCUAGUCCCUGGUGCGACUCCGAUAGCCAAGGUACCAUAUCGGUUGGAUCCUCCCGAGAUGCAGGAGUUGUCUAAGCAGCUGCAGGAGCUUCUAGACAAGGGAUUUAUCAGGCCGAGUAGCUCGCCUUGGGGAGCCCCGAUCCUAUUUGUCAAGAAGAAGGACGAGUCGCAUCGCAUGUGCAUAGACUACCGGGAGCUGGACAAGGUAACAGUGAAGAACCGUUACCCACUCUCGAGGAUUGACAACCUCUUUGACCAGUUGCAGGGAGCAUCUUGGUUCUCCAAGAUCGAUUUGCGCUUAGGUUAUCACCAGAUGAGGGUCAGAGAGGAGGAUGUGCAGAAGAUUGCAUUUCAAACUCGCUAUGGCCACUACGAGUUCGUGGUGAUUCCCUUCGGGCUCACCAAUGCUCGUGCCGCAUUCAUGGACCUCAUGAACCGCGUAUGUAGACCGAUGCUGGAUCGGUCCAUGAUAGUUUUCAUCAACUAUAUCAUGGUUUACUCCAAGACGCAGGUGGAGCACGAGGAGCAUCUGAGAGAGGUGUUGGAGACUCUGCGGAGGGAGAGCUUGUACGCCAAGUUCUCCAAGUGUCAGUUCUGGUUGCGUGAGGUGCAGUUUCUUGGGCACCUUGUCAACCAGAAUGAUAUUUUGGUCGACCCAUCCAAGGUAGAGGCCGUGAUGAGAUGGGAGGUUCCGAAGUCUCCAUCUGAGAUCUGGAGUUUCUUGGGAUUAGCUGGCUACUAUCGGAGAUUCAUCCAGGAUUUCUCCAAGAUAGUCGUACCCUUGACGCGAAUGACGAAGAAGGCUGUAGUCUUUUGUUAGGAGCCUGAGCAGCAGGCAGCGUUUGAGACACUAAGACAGAGGUUGUGCGAGGCACCAAUCUUGGCCUGCCAGAGGGCGUAGAGGAUUUUGUGGUGUAUUGCGACACGUCUAUUUCGGGUUUGGGCGCAGUAUUGAUGCAGAGAGGGCAUGUCAUCGCCUACGCUUCGAGGCGGUUGAAUCCUCACGAGACGAACUAUCCGACACAUGAUUUAGAGUUGGGGGCUGUUGUGUUUGCCCUCAAGAUUUGGUGUCAUUACCAUUAUGGGGUCCAUUGUACCAUUUACACGGACCACAAGAGUUUGAGGUACCUUAUGGAUCAACCGAAUCUGAACAUGAGGAAGCGUCGGCGGUUGGACGUGGUGAAGGAUUAUUAUUGCGAGAUCCUUUACCACCUGGGGAAGGUCAAUGUGGUGGCUGAUGCGUUUAGCUGCCAGGCAGCGCUGAUCCGAGAUAUUUGCAUGCGGAUGACAGUAGUGACUCCACCAUUGGAGCAGAUCCGAAAGGCCCAGUAGGAGGCCAUGUGUGACAACCCAAGUUAUUCCGUUACAUUUCCCCGUUACCGUUAAUGGAAUAUUCUAGUUUAUGAAAGUUCCGUUAAUUGGAGGUCAUCAAUUUAAUAAACGUUCCAUUUGUUUACAUUUAAUAUGUCGUUAAGUCGUGAUAAAAGGGAAUAAAAACACAUGACACAUAUUUCCACUAAAUUGGAAAAUGUUAGUUUUUAUUAUUAUUACCACUAAAUUGGGUGCGACCAAAAGCCCCGUUUAACGACAGUAUCGGGUAGAAUACCACUAAUCCCCGACUCGAACCCCUAUAUAAAGGUGAGUGGAGUCCAUUGGAGACUGUUUACACUCCCUAAACACUCUCUCUAGACCCGUUUUCGCCCCAAAUCCGCAACCAAACGCUUCCAAAUCGUAAGUCCGCUUACCCUAGCUUGUUUUAAACAUAUUGAUUCGUGUUUAUAGCCCAAAUAUCGGACUUAGAAGCUGUUAGAAUGGAGUUUACGGCCUAAGCUCCUCCUUAGGCUGUAAACCCCUAAAUGAGGCCAAAAUGACCCCAAAAUGUCCCUAAAGGCUUGGAAUUAAAUUGGGGAUUUAGCCUAGGAGUGUUUAAACAUUAAAACAUAAGGAUUUGGAGCAUAAAAGAGAGUUUACGGCCCAGACAUAUGCCUAGGCCGUAAACACCUCUUAAACUUGUUAAAAUGCCCCAAACACACUCCUAAAACACCCUUGGACUUCAUACAUAAAUUAGGGGCUUAUCCUUUCGGGUUUAGAUCAUUUAAACACAAGGAAUGGAAGGAUGAAAAGGAGUUUAUGGCCCACACAUGUGUCAAGGCCGUAAACUCCCCAAACCUAGCCAAAAUGUUCGUUUUUAUUCCCCAAAUGGCCUUAGACUAUUUUUAUAAAAUGCUAGGAAUGAUUUAAGGGCUUAAAACUUCAUUAAAUCCAUGAUAUAGGAGUUCAUGGCCAUGAACUCCCUUACAAGUGGUUCAUGGGCCGUAAACUCCAUGAUGGAGCCCUUAGAAGCCUUAAACCCACUCAUGCCUUUUGGAAUUGGACAUAGAAAAAUCCCACUAUCGAGAUUGAAGCCUUAAAACACACUAGAACCCUUCACCAUGAGUUUACGGCCGUGAACUCAUGGUGAUUAGUCCCUGGGCCGUAAACAUGGUGUUGAGAGUUUACUCUCGGAGAGCAAACUCCAUUCCUAAGCCAUUUGAGCCCUUAGUUGUUACCCGGGACACCCCAAACACUUAACAAGGGUGUUUUCCGCUCCUUAGGGUGCGUAAACUUGUUUGAUUAGUAUUAUAUGUACUAAUUGUAUGUAAACAUAUGUUAUCAUAUGUUAAAUAGGUCACUAAGUGUGUCCAAGUCUUUACUUGACACCGAGCACCCAACCGGCGCCUUUGUCGGANACAGGUGAGUUCAUAUCCCCGAAUUAACCUUUUAAAUGCUUUUACAUGCUUUUAUGGGGGGGGGGGGGAAUACAAGUUAAACAUGCCAGUUAUCAUAUCAAUCACAUGUGAUUGAUAACCCACAUGCACAAGAUUUUACCACAAUGUACACUAUUUAACCGAGUAGGACACUAUAAUGGUUUUUAAAAGGGAUUUCAAUUGUUUCAAAACUCUUACUUAUAUUGUUUUACCUAAAUUUGUUUUAAACUGGUUUAUGAAAGAUUCCAAAGAUUUCUAAAGGUUUUCACACUUAUUUUACAAAGAAUACCAAAUUGUGAUUUUCCCAAGAAUAAAGGUUUUUCAUCAAAGUUCCCUUUCACGACGUAUACUUUUACUUGUUAGAUACCGCUGCUUCGCUUUCAUGUAUUUUAAAUUCCUACUNAAUCUGGUUUAUGAAAGAUUCCAAAGAUUUCUAAAGGUUUUCACACUUAUUUUACCAAAGAAUACCAAAAGCGAGUUUUCCUGAGUAUAAAGGUUUUUCCAAGGUUUUCAUCAAAGUUCCAUUUCACGUUGUAUAUUUUUACUUGUUAGUUACCGCUGCUUCGCUUUCAUUUAUUUUAAACUCCUACUUGAUAACGCUUUCACUUCGUGAUACGCUUAUACCUGUUAUUGUCUCUAUUUCACUUAUACUUGUAGUCGCUUAUACCUGAUAGACGCUCUUACUUCACUUAUUGUCGUCUCUACUUCGUGAUACGCUUAUACUUGUUCGACACUCCUACUUCACUUGCGACCGCUCCUACUUCACUUGUUAGACACUCCUACUUCACAAGAAUCACUUCUACUUGAUACACACUCAGUCGUAGUUAGAUGUAUGUCUGUGCUUAUAUAGGUACAUAUAAGUAAUGAUUGAAAGACUUAGGAAGGCUCGUCCGCCCUAUUUCCUUUUCUUCGUUGAGAUGUGGUCUGGUGGGAUCGGAUGGCCGUCCGAAGGUCAUUUGAUUCAUUAGUUAUAUAUUAUGUAUAUGAGUAUGGACAUACAGGAAUGUCUAGUCAGUUCAGUUAAGAGUCUCUACCUCUAGUUCAACACUUACAUUAGAAACACACUACCCACUAUUUGGAAGUCUCUACCUCUAGUUCAGCACUUACAUUAGAAACAUACUACCCACUAUUCGGAAGUCUCUACCCACUAUUUGGGAUGCAUCUUCAGGACACGGCCUUCUCCGUCGUCUAGUUGGUAACCAGAAUCUCCUGUAGGGAGAGCGGACAUUGUGUGUAUAGAUCUAUACGGGAUUGACACCCCCGCACCCAGAUUGCUAGCUACAGUCCCGGCCUACCAAGCCAACGGGUGACAAAUGUCAUAUUUUAGACGCUUGUAGGGCGUCUGGUACUCUAGUCAGUAUGGUUAUGAGUAUCUCGGGUUACCUUAUAAUUCAUGGCCUUAAGGUAACGGUAUUUCGCCAGCAAUUUACACUGUGUGCUGGUAAUUCAUUUUCAGAGUCACACUGUUUUGACCUUAGUAGACAUAUCUUUCAUUUGAUACUGUUUGGGGUCUGUUUUUCUCUGUUUUGACCUUACAAGACGUAUCUUUCAUUUGAUACUGUCAGGGGUCUGUUUUCUCUGUUUUGACCUUGCAAGACGCAUCUUUCAUUUGAUACUGUCUGCGGUCUGUAUUCACUGUUUUAGACCUUACUAGCUGUUCCUUUCAUUUGGUACCUUCUGGGGUCUGAGUCUCUACUUGUUAGACUGAAGCAGGCGUGUCGUUCGUUCGAUACUCUCCUGGAUUCUAUGAUUCCUUUGCCUUAGUCAGCAGUCCUCACUGCUGAGGCAUAUGUUAUUUCCCUGCUGUCUCUUGCCUUCUUUAAUAAUCAAAUUCAGUAUUUUGAUAAUGAUAGCAGUUAAGGGAAAACUAAUUUUUACCACAUAACACUGACCAGUCUUGGUAGAAGGCUGCUUUUAUUAAAGAAAAUAUAGGAUUUUCUGGAAAGAACUCUAAUGCACUGUAAACACUUAAACUAUUACUUCAUAACGUUAUUUGACUAAAUGACACUAAAUACUUAUGAACUCACCAGCAUUUGUAAAAAUGCUGAUACUCGCUUUUCAAAUAACUUGUAUUCUCAGGUCAGCAUUAGACAGGUACACCCCCGGAGCUGUUGAUGAAGAUGGCUUAGUACCUUGCUGUACUUAUUAUAUUUACUUGUAUUACUUUGAUACCUUGUAAUGUAACCAUGUAAAAUUAUUACUAUUAAUGCAAUGUUUUGUUGUACUUUGAUUACUAUAUGCAUGUGUUGUGAUACUUGACAUGACGUCAUCCACCCCAGAACGUUUCCGCCGUUCCGGUUUUGGGGUGUGACACCAUGAAGGAGGAACAUCGGAAGAGCGAGCGUAUAGUGGGUCAGGUUCCCUCCUUUGACUAUGAUAGCCGAGGGUUAUUGACACUACACCGCAGAGUGUGGCUUCCAUACCACGGGGGUGUGCGCCAGGUCCUAAUGGAAGAGGCACACAAAUCCUGAUUCUCUAUUCAUCCUGAGGCAACGAAGAUGUAUAGGGAUCUUCAUCUAGACUAUUGGUGGCCCUGCAUGAAGCGGGAUGUAGCAUGGUAUGUGGAGCGAUGCUUGACCUGCAGGAAUGUCAAGGCCGUGCACUAGAGGCCACACAACAAGAUGCAGCCGUUGGAUAUUCCCAUGUGGAAGUGGGAAGAUAUUACCACGGACUUCAUCGCCAAACGUCCCAGGACCGUGCUGGGAGUGGAUUCCAUAUGGGUCAUCGUAGAUCGGUUGACUAAGAGUGCCUAUUUCAUACCGAUCCAUGAGAGUAUCUCGGCCGAGAAGUUGGCCGACAUCUACAUUUGAGAGGUGGUGGCUUAACACGGAGUGCCAGUCUUCGUGAUUUCUGAUAGGGAUGUACGGUUCACUUCCAGGUUCUUGAACAAAUUCCAUGACGAGUUGGUUACUCGUCUUCACUUUAGCACUGUAUUUCACCCGCAGAGAGAUGGUCAGAGUGAGCGGACCAUCCAAACACUGAAGGAUAUGCUGCGGGCAUGUGUUUUAGACUUCGGUGGUAGUUGGGAUACUUACCUUCCAUUGGCUGAGUUCUCGUACAACAACAGCUACCACACGAGUAUUGACCGUCCUCCCUUCGAGAUAUUAUACGGGAGGAAGUGCAGGACCCCGAUAUGUUGGGAUGAGGUUAGACAGAGGGUCAUGGGGAGCACCGAAGUGGUGCUCAAGAUGAAAGACAAGAUUCAACAGGUCCGGAGCAGGCUUCAGACUGCUCAGAGUCGGCAGAAAAGUUAUGCUGACAAACGCCGAUCAAACCUGGAGUUCCAGGUCGGGGAUAUGGUUCUCCUAAAGGUGUCACCAUGGAAGGGCAUCAUCCAAUUUAGGAAACGGGGCAAGUUGAGCCCCAGGUACAGUGGACCAUUUAGGGUUAUAGCCCGGGUGGGCAAAGUAGCGUACAUGAUGGAUCUGCCAGCCAAACUCAGUCAGAUCCACAACACUUUCCACGUCUCCCAGCUGCGGAAGUGUCUAGUGGAUGACUCAGUAGUGGUGACCUUAGAGGAUAUUCAGGACAAUGACAGCUUGAAUUACAUUCAGCGGCCUGUGGCGAUCCUUGACCGGAAGUCGAAGGAUUUGAGGAACAAGAGGGUCGAGCUGGUGAAGGUGCAAUGGUGUGACAACCCAAAAAUUCCCGUCAGUUUUAACGUCGAAAUUAGUACGUCAAAAAUUAGCCAAAUUUAUCCCAAAAUAUUUUUGACCGGAUUUAAACCCGUUGGAAUAUUUUAAAUAAUAUUCGUCAAGCGAACCAAAAUUAAGGAGGUAUAGUUUUAAAAUUUGCCGUGUUUAACGGUAGUCGUGAAAAACCCCGUUCGCGGUUGGUGUCAGGUGGACCCCCAACCAGGCCAUAAACUCCACCCUAUAUAAGGGUUGAGUGGGUUUCAUUCCAACCCUUUUCACACCUUAAGAGUCUCUCUCUCUUUACUUUCUCUCUCUACAAAUCGGGUUUGGUCCAAAAUCGCCUCUUUCAAGCCCCAAACUACUAAGUGAUAUACCCUAACUUGUUAUUUAGCUCAUUUAACUUACAAAUUCGUGUUUAAAUUACCCAAAACCCUCAAGAACAUGAGUUUACGGUCCAAGAACACUCUUGGACCGUAAACACUCAUAAAUGGGGUUUUAAUGCCCAAAAACCCUUCCAAACCACUAAUGGAGCUUAGUUAUGACUUAGGGGCUUACAUGAAAGGACUUAGAACACCAAAAUCUUAACAUAUGGGGAGUAAACACGAGUUUAUAGUCUAAGAACAUUCUUGGACCGUAAACCCAUCUUCAAGGCCCUUAAACACCUUUUUGGGUGUUAAACUACCCCUUAAACACCUCCAAAAGCUUCUAUGAGCUUCCUUGAGUGCAUAGAACCUUAUAUUCCUUCUUGAGAUGCACCAAAACAUACACAAGUGAGUCAUACUUGAGUUUACGGCCCAAGAAGAUUCUUGGACCGUUAACACCCUUACUUAGACCAUAAACACCCCCAAAGGUUGUUAAAGUGCCCUUAACACUUUGUAUGGCUUAGAAUUGGACCUAGAACUUUGUAUGCUUACCCUACAACCACCAAAACACAUGAUUCAUGGACUAACAUGAGUUCACUGCCAUAAACUCAUGUAUUUAAGGUAGUAAACUCCCCAUGAACACCUUCAUAGACCGUAAACACCUUUCCAAGGUGUUUAAGUGCCUUUAACACCUUCCUAUGCUCAUAUAAGUGACUAGAACCUUCCCUACAUAGCCUAGAACCACCAAAGCACAAAAGAAAUGGACUAACAUGAGUUUACUAUCGUAAACUCAUGUGUUUAUGGCCGUAAACUCCUCAAGGAGUGGCCCAUGGACCGUAAACUCCCUAUUGUGUCCAUUUUGAGCCCCAAUUGACUUCCUUAGCCCUUGAUUCAACUCUAGCAUGAUUCUAUGAGUGAGAUAAGACCUUUAAACAUCUCAUGACACCACUACCAUGAGUUUACGGCCGUAAAAUCAUGGGAGAAAUCGUCUUGAAACCGUAAACACCCAUAAGGGCCAUCAUUUGAAGAGUAAACUCCAAUGUGAGUCCAUACACACCUUCUAUGCAACCCUUGGUACUUCUAGCACUUGUAGGAAAGUGUUUUUAUGUAUUAAUACAUCCUUACUUGCUUAAUUAGUUAUUAAAUGACUAAUUAGAUACUUAAAUGUAUCAUUACAUGUUAAAUAGGAUUCGCGUGUGUGGUCAAGUCCUCACUUGACACUUAGCAUCCUAUACCGUCCAUUCAUCCGAAACGCCAACGUCAGGUGAGUUCAUACCCCUGAAUUAACCUUUUAAAUGUUUUUACAUGCUUUUAGGGGGGGGAAUACAAGUUAAAACAUGCUAGUUAUCAUAUCAAUCAUAUGUGAUUAAUAACCCGCAUGCACAAGGAUUUAUCACACUUUCAGCUGCUUUACCAAGUAUAAUACUAUAGAUGGUUUUCCAAAACGUCUUUACUUGUUUAAUCUUUUCUCAAAUUGUCUCUCGCACCGUAUGUUUUACUUCUAAACCAGUUACAAUAGUGUUUUAAACAAUGGUUUUCUUUACUUAUAUUGUGUUAUCAAAUUAUAUUCAAAACGUGUUUAUGAACGGUUUUCAAAGCUUGUUUUACAUAAUGAUAUCAAGUCGUAAAUUCUUAUUUUUAAAGCUUUUCCAAAGGUUUUACCAAAGUUUUCUUCUAUGCUUCUAUGCUUCUACUUCGUUAAAUGCAUGCCUGUACCUGUAUAGUUAUAUAAAUAAUGUUUAAAAGUCUUAGGAAGGCUAGUUCGCCCUAUUUCCUUUUCCUCGUUGGGAUGUGGUCUGGUGGGUAUCAGAUAUCCGUCCGAAGGUCAUUUAAACAUUAGUUAUACAUCAUGUAUACACGUAUAGACAUGAAGGUUUACAUUGACCAGUUCAUUUCCCUUGGGUAGCAAGGGCAUCCUUCCAUUCAUCAUUCAUAGAUCAGGGACACUAGUAAGUAUUAUAGGAAUAGUUAGGAGGUUCUAUUUACUCUUUCUAGUACGAGAAUUCCAAAGGAGUCAGUUCAUUCGCGAGUCUAUAUCAUUUCUCUAGCGCCUCUAAUAGAAUUCAGAAUACGAGAUGCAUCUUCAGGACACAGAUCUCCCAAUCAUCAAGUUGGUAACCAGAGUCUCCUGGAGGGAGAGCGGGCAUUGUGUGUAUAGAUCUAUACGGGGCUGACACUCCUGCACCCUGACUGCUAGCUACAGUCCAUGGCCUACCAAGCCAAGGGGUGACAAAUGUCACAUUUAUUCCGACGCUUGCAGGGCGUCAAGUACUCUAGUGUCAAUCAGUAUGCUUACAAGUAUCUCCAUGUUUACCUUAUAAUUCAUGGCCUUAAGGUAACGAGAAUUAACACUGUAUUCUUGAAACAACACUCUUAGGAUUACUAUUUGUUUUAGACCUUGCUAGCUAUAUCGUUCAUUUGAUAUUUUCUAGGAUCUAUGUUUCUUUGUUUUAGACCUUGCUAGCUGUAUUGUUCAUGUGAUACUGUAUGGGGUAUGUGUUUCUUUACUUUAGACCUUGCUAGCUGUAUCGUUCAUUUGAUACUGUCUGGGGUCUGUGUUUCUUUGUUUUAGACCUUGCUAGCCGUAUCGUACAUUUGAUACCGUCUGGGGUCUGUGUUUCCUUUUGUUAGACUGAGCCAGGCGUGUCAUUCAUUCGAUACUCUCCUGGAGUCUAUGAUUUCUUUUGCCUUAGUUAGCAAUAUUUUCUGCUGAGGCAUAUGUUAUUUUCCCCUAGUAUUUUUACUAGUGAUAUUCUCCUACUUUCUUUAAAGUCAAAUACUGUAUUUUGGGUAAUGAUAGUAUUUCAGGGAAAAUUUCUCUUUAAAACAUAACACUGUCGAGUCUUGGUAGAAGACUGCUUUUAAUUAGAAAAUAUAGGAUUUUCUGGAAAGGACACUAAUACACCGUAGAUUCUAAACUACUACUUUUUAUAAAGUUAUUUUGAAUACUUAUGAACUCACCAACAUUUAUAAAAAUGAUGAUACUCGCUUUCAAAAUAACUUGUAUUCUCAAGUCAGCGAUAGACAGGUACAUCCUAGGAGCUUUUGGCGAAGUCAGUCUAGAACCGAGCUGGAUCUAUACUAGUUUCUGUAUUACUUUAAUGUCUCUAUGAAAUGUAACUUAUGUAAAACUAUUACUAUUAAUGCAAUGGUUGUUGUACUUUGAUUACUAUACCGCAUAUGUUGUGAUACUUGACAUGACGUCAUCCACCCCAGAAUGUUUCCGCCGUUCCGGUUUUGGGGUGUGACAAAUGGCAACACCAGAAGGGCUCAGAGUGGACUUGGGAGCCAGUGGAUGAGAUGAUGGAGCAUUAACCAGAACUUUUCCAGGAAAGAGCAGCAGACUUCGAGGACGAAGUCUAAAACAAGUGGUGGAGAUUUGUAGCACCUGGUUGAUGGUAUGUAGUUUAUUUAAGUAUUGUGCAUUUUUGGCCUGGGACUCGGCGAGUUGAAGGCCCAACUCGUUGAGUAGAAGUGGAUUGGAUGCGAGAUUUAAAUGACGGACUCGUCGAGUCGGCCUCUAGACUCGAUGAGUAGACUCUGACUGGACAAAACCCUAAUCUAAGGGUUUGCACCCUAUUUAAGCAUCUCAUUCAGCCACCCUUCCUCCCUAUUGCUCCCAGAAACACCCCCCCAUAGCAAACCCUAAUUGUGUAUGUGAAGAUCUAAAGGCAUUUGUGGUGAUUUUUGGUGAUUUUGAUCACAAGGAAGAAGGAAGGGCCUAGAGGGAUCAAGAGAAGACCAAGCAAGUUCUAGUUUGUGCAUCUUUUGCAGUUCCCAGAAGGUAUAAAGUCGGUACCUUGCUUGUUCAUUUGCUAGAUCCCUUUUUGGGGGAGAUUUAGAGCUUUUAUAAGCCAUUCUUGGUGACCAACCAUGAUUGCAAGCAUGGUUGGGGGUCGACGCUUCAGAUCUAGGUCCAUGAAGGAGUUACAAGGCAGAAAAGGGCUGCUUUUGCACCUAUGGAAGCCCUCAUGAAACUUGAGAGUCUCUUUUAGAGCCUUUUAGGCUCAAAGUCCCAUGCAUGCAUGUAAAGUUCGUAACUUUACGUGCUAGAUCGAUUUUAGGGACCUAGAUCUAUCAUUUGGAGAAGAGUUAUACGUUACAAAUCGAAGAAAUAGACUUAGACAGUAUCGACUCGAUGAGUCGUUCUUAGGACUCGGCGAGUCCGAGGUUAGACUCUCCUUUUCUGUUAUGGCUCAAAGAGACCCAAUGGAGUGCUGGAAAGGUUUUAGAGGGUCCAGGGGAGUGACCCAACGUAUUGGGCUAAGCUAUAGUCCUUGAGUUCAUAGGACUUGGCGAGUGCAUGAAUAGACUCGGCGAGUCCAAGGCAAUCUCCCAACUCUUGAAGAUGAACUCGAUGAGUUAUUCAUACAACUUGGUGAGUCGAGGAUAGGACUGGUUCUUAGGAUGAGGAUGAACUCGACGGGUUGUUCAUAUAACUUGACGAGUCGGAUGAAGAUUCAUUCGAUGCUCGUAUAGAAGGCGAACUCGUCGAGUCAUUUUUAAACUCGACGAAAAGAGACGUGGAUGAGGACAGCUAAAAGGUUAGGGACUCGACGAGUUGGCGGCCCAACUAGGCGAGUCAGGUCACUGGAAGUUGAAUUUGACCUUGACUUUAACUAGGACUUGGUUAGGGAUUACAGCCGGAGGAUUUUCGGAGCAGUAGCAGAUAGAGAUUUCCCGCACAGAUUAUCAACAGCUACUCGUACGAGGUGAGUUACCUUCCAGUAGCGGUGGGUCUACGACCACAAUGCCGGCCCACCAGUAGGAGUUUUCUAUUAGAUGAUCGUCUUUGUCAUAUCAUCUAGGUUUGCUACUACCUGAUAUGUUGUAUGCUGGCAUGAUAUGUUAUAUGUGAUAGUAGUAGAGUUCGCUUGUUAGGACUGAAGGGUAGGUCAAGCAAUCCAUAUAUGUAUGACAAUAUACGAUGCUAUUUUUAUAUACUAGCAUGAUAUGUUCUAAGUGAUAUUGGUAGUAGGAGGGGAAUAAUCCCCAAGUUCGGUUGUUAGGACCGAAGGGUAGCUCGGACACCACAUUUAUGUCUGAUAGUAUGUUUAUAUUAUGAUAUAUGUGAUAGUAGUAGUAGGGGCGAAAUAGUCCUCGAGGGUCGGUUGUUAGGACCGAUGGGUAGGUCAGCAACCCAGAUGGGUAGGUCUACACCCCGUAAGAGUUUGACACGGGUAGGUCGGCACCCCAGAAUGGCCGUACCGGGUAGGUUGGCACCCCAGAAUAGCCGUACUGGGUAGGUCGGGCACCCUAGAAUUGCCCGGCAGUAUGUAUGCUAUAUGAUUGUACGGUAUGUGGUACGAUGUGGGAACUCACUAAGCUUCGUGCUUACAGUUUAUAGUUUUGGUUUCAGGUACUUCUUCAGCAAAGGGGAAAGAGUUGGCGCGGUAGCAGCACAUCAUAGACACACGCAUUGAUUUUCCGCACUUCAGAUAUUCUGGGAUUUUACUCUGACAUGUUGCUAUUUCAUGAUUUGGGUUUUCAUACAUGAUAUAUUGAUUUACGAAAUGAUAUCUUUUUGUGUAGUUUUCUUAUGAAUGUUUUUAUAAUUAGUUAAUUAAAAUGAAAUUUUUGGACUCAAAAUUUGGAAUGCUACAGGCAAAUUGGUAUAAUCUAAAGUUUCCUAAUUCAAUUGUAUAAGUCGGUAUCAAUUGUAUAUAUGAUCUCUUUAGUCGUGUUAUGGUUAUUAAGAUUGUAACACAAAGGUUUUAAGUUGUUUUCAUUUUAAUUAAAGAGUUUGUUUGAUUGUUUUGCUUUAAUUCAUACAAUUUAAUCUUGAAUUGGUAUCAGAGCUUGAGUCAAGAAGCUGUGAGAUCAAAUAUCUUACCUAUUGAUGAGCUAGGUCAACAUGUCGGAUGCAGGAGGAGGCGGAGGAGCUGCUCCGGUGAGUGUGAAGGAAAUUGGAUCGACCUCUGUUCAAUGUCAUAUGCUCAAUUAUACACAUUACAUAGUUUGGUCCCUGCGUAUGAAGGCUGUCUUAAGAAUUCAUAAGGCAUGAAGUGUAAUUGACCCAGGAACAGAGAGGAACGAAGAAAAUGAUUACCUUGCAGUGAGGCUGCUCUAUCAGGCAAUGCCAUAAAACUUAAUUAUGCAAAUCGAAGAUGUGGAGACUGAGAAACAACUCUGGGAAGCAAUCAAAACAAGAUAUGUGGAUGCAUCUUGUGUAAAGGAGGCAAAGUUACAAACCUUGAUGGCAAAAUUCGACCGAUUGAGGAUGUCUGACUCAGAAUCGAUUGACUCUUUUACAUGGAAACUAUUUGGAAUCGCAUCUAAAGCAACUCCCUUGGUGAAUCGAUUGAAGAACCCAAUAUGGUCAAGAAAUUUCUAAAAUCUGUACCGUGAAAUUUUAGCCAUAUUGUCGCUUCCUUGGAUCAAGUCCUGGAUUUGAAGGCAAUAGGUUUCGAGAAUGUUGUGGGAAGACUUAAGGCAUAUGAAGAACUGAUUAGGGAGGGGGACAACGGUGGAGAUGGUUAGGCGAAGGUGUUGUUUACGAAGUCAUCUAGUGGUGAUGGUGGUUUGAGUAAUCACAGAACGCAAGGAAGUGGAUUGAAAGGUUUUAAUGGGGCAGUGGGUCAAAUGGUCCGAGUGGAUCAAAUAGGUCCAAACAAUUUAAUCGGGCCUCGCAAUGUGCCAAACCCAAUCAAGGAAAUAAGUCCACUUUUGAUCAGCCCAAUUCCAUUUAUAACUCGAAUAAGAAUAAAACCAAGAAGGAUCGAUCUAAAACUUUUUGUUAAUGGUGUGAUAAACCAGGCCACUUUGCAUCUCAAUGUCUGAACCGAACCCAAAAAUUACAAGAAAGAAAUUUUACCAAAGUUACGAUACCGGCGAGACCAUAUUUUUACAUGAGAUUGUAUUUUUAAAUGAAGAAAAGGUGAUACCAUCUCGAUACGUCUCACAAGAUAAUGAUGUGUAGUAUUUGGAUAACAGGGCGAGUAAUCGUAUGACGGGUAACUAGUCAUUUUUCUCUAAACUGGAUGAAGGCAUAACCGGGAGGAUUAAAUUCGAAGAUAAUUCGUGUGUAAAAAUCAAAGGAAAAUGUGUUAUACUUUUCCAAGGCAAGAAGGGUCAACAAAGGUUGAUGACGGAGAUUUACUGCAUACUGGAUCUCAAGAACAAUAUUAUUAGUCUCGGACAAGCAGCCAAAACCAGGUUUGAUAUUUGAAUGAAAGACAACUACUAGACCAUGCACGAUGUCGAUAAUUACUUAUUAAUGAAGGUGCAAAAAACUCCAAACCGCCUUUAUAAAAUAAAAUUACAAAUUGGAGCACCUAUUUGACUUCAUUCGAGACUAAGUGAAGAUACGUGGCGAUGGCAAGCAAGACUUGGGUACAUCAAUUUUGAGUCAUUGAAAAAGAUGUCCAAGAAGGGUCUAGUGAAAGGGUUACCCCAAUUUGAUCAUGAUAAUCAAUUGUAUGAGUCUUGCUUGGUGGGUAAGAAAACAAGAAAGUCAUUCCCGACUAUGACGACAUACAAAGCAAAACGACCAUUGGAACUAGUACACCAUGAUUUAUGCGGUUCGAUCACGCAGGAAACCAAGCAUCAAAAUCGGUAUGUUUUCACACCAAUUGAAGCCUCUUCACACUUUAUGUGGAUUUAUCUCAUGAAAGAGACCUGGGGUAGCGUCAAGGAUUCCCCUCGUCACCUCGGAUGCAAUGAGCUCGCGCAACCUCUCAUCGAUGGGCUCAGAACCGCUGCCCGACCUAGAUCCAGAUCCCGAUCCUGAUCUUGAUCCUAAUCCUGAUCCCCCUGCUCCAAACUGUGUCACCACCAUGCUGAACUGAAAUGUCAUAAAUCAUAAUGAUCAGGAUAUGUGUAUAGGGGAUCUUCCUACUCCGGUCCUCCUUAGAGCUGUCGGAUCUAACAUUGGUUCGGGUACAGGUCUUGUGCUUUCAGUUGUACUAACCCAAUACUACCUUCUAAAUCUACAUGUACCUUUCCCCAAGGUUCUACCUGAUAACUCCAAUUCGUCCCAAAAUAAAUCAUAUCCCACAGACUACCACAUAUCACAAAUCCUAAGUUGUCCUAAGAUUUGCUCUACUCACAUCAAUCAGACCUAUCAUAACAGGUUGCCUUUAUGCAUGCAAAUUAUACACAGAAAAGGAUCAAAUAGACUUUCGAAUAAGAGAUUCUACCCUAGGACCACAAACAAACGAGGAACAGGAAAUAAGUCCAAAUCAAUCAUUCUAAGGCUAUAAGCUCUUAACCAUAUACAAUUUUAAAAGCAUACACAUUGCAAGUUUCAUACGAUUAUGAUAGCUCAAAUAUCAAUAUAACAUGACUAACACAUUGGGGAACCACUUACUUGGCUCGGCUGAUCACGCGCGUUGGACUCUCCUUUUUUACAUACUUUAAAAUUUCAAACUUUUUUUUAUUUUUGAAAACGAUUUUACCAUUUCCUUAGUUUGAGUCCUAACAUACCUGAAAUUGUGCCCGAAUCUCUCAAACCAAGGCUCUAAUACCAACUUGUAAAGACCCAAAUUUUCAAAAGAAAAUUUUCAUUUUUGAUUAACCAAAAUACUUUCCCUAAAUCAUGAAAUCCCAAAUACAAUUGUUUUCAAAUCCAUAUCAAUUACAAUUUUAUUUCAAAUCAUCAUAGUGUCCCAUAAAGUGCCUGAGAGAGAGUGCACGUCGUGCCAUCAAACCUUUCCCUUGCCCUUAGGGUCAGAUGUACCUGAAACCGAUCCACAAAUUGUAAGCUAAUGCUUAGUGAUUUCCCCCAUAGAAUACCCCACACACAACCCACAUAACACAUAUCAUAUUAUCUAUAAAAGCUAUCUCUACAACAUAAGCCAUUCAUACUAACAUAUAAGGAUGCAAUGGGCUCCUCCCAAGGUCUUAUACCUUCAUGCCAUGGGCUCCCCCAUGGUCUUUACUUAGGAAUUCCACGGGCUCCCCUACAUGGUCUUAUAUCCAACUGCCACAGGCUCCCCCCGGGGUCUUCCAUGCAGUAACAUACAUAAUCAAUUAACAUAUCAUAUAACACACAAGUAUCUAUCAUACUACACAACCUAUAUAUAAACAUACAAGGAGGCCAUGGGCUCCCCCCAUGGUCUUAUACCAUCAUGCCAUGGGCUCCCUCCAUGGUCUUUACCCAGGAAUGUCAUGGGCUCCCCCACAUGGUCUUAUGUCUGCCUACCAUAGGCUCCCUUUGGGGUCUUCCAUGCAAUUAUCAUAUAAUCACUAGCAUACCACUUAGCAUAUAACUAACUAUCAUACCAUAUAUCUCUACUUUAGCUAGUGUACCACAUAUCAUAAAUGGGCCGGCCUUGGUGCCUUAGACCCAUUGGAUGGUGAGAAGACUCACCUCUCGAAUGCUAAACUGAAAAGCUAAGAUCGGAUGUAUCCCAUGCACUGCUCCUCUUCAAAUGCCUAUAACCAACAUGUGAUUAAGUUGUCAUAAUCCCAUAAUUACCCUCAAAGUCAACCCCGGUCAAAUUCAUGGUCAACAGUCAAGGUCAGCAGUCCAUGUUGACCUCAACUCGUUGAGUGCAUCCAAUAACUCAUCGAGUUCCUCCCGAGUCCAUUCCACAGAAUCCCACAUCAACUCGCCGAGUCAACCUAGUGACUCGUCGAGUUCAUCCGAUGUCCAGAAAACUAAUGUCCAUUCAAACCCAAAACCCUAAUCCUUCACUCCACUCAUCCAGAAACCCAAAAACGGGCAAACCCUUACCCUGACUCAUCGAGUCAACUAAGGGAGUCGACGAGUUCCUUCAGUCACUUUCAUGUUCAACACUUUUCAGUGAGAUAUAAGGUCCCAAACUUCAGAUCCAACCUCUUCUAAUGCAGAUACCAUGUAAAUUUGCAAACUUUACAUGCAUGAAAGGCCCUCUAAGGCUAUAACAUCAAAGUAAGCUUGUUACAAGGUUCUUAUUGUUGGAUUAAUGUCUAAGUCCAUAACUAUAAUUGGUAAGACUUGACCCGACCCGGCAUGGUCCAUUUGGGUUGCAUACCAUCAUGCACUUGGAUAGACUAUAAUGAGAGAAAUAAGACACUUAUGGUUAUUAAUAUAUUAUAAGUUCUAGUAUAUUAAUAAUAAGAAUAAUAAGAUUAUUUAAUUAGUAUUGAUCAAGAAUUAAUCUAGGAUUAAUUAAGUGAUCAAAAGAAGACUAAUUAAAUAUAUGGGUUGAUUGUGUAAAUCAUCCAUACUUAUAUAGUGGGCUAAUGCUCCAUGGAUAAUCAAGUUGGGCUAAAACCCAUAGGAUGGUUCAUGGAUGCUCCAUGGUGUAUUUGUACCCAUGGAUCAUGGAAAUGAAAGGCCAUGUCAAUUAGGGUUUACAUGGUGUAACCCUAACUAUAUAAGCAUCUUAUUCUUGACCAAAAUCGGCCACUAGUGUGUGAAGUGAAAGGGCUAGCCGAUUUCAUGAGUUGUAGAAUUCUCUCAAGUUAUUCUAAGUGUUUUGGUGAUUGUGAUUCCAUUUGAGGCUUCCACACUAUUGGGGCUAGGCACUCAAGCUUCAUGAAGACUUUCUACAUCAAAGAGGUAUGUAUUCUAUCUUGUUACACUCGUUGUUUUGUAUGCUAGAUUAGGAUAAUACCUUGGAAGUUCUUAUUUGCAUGUAUAAUAGAGAAAACAUAGAUCCAAGGUAUUUAGGGUUGCAUGUACACUUAGGAGUGUUAGAAUGCUCAAAACCCAACAGUGGUAUCAGAGCCUAGGCUUGUUUUCUUGUUAUACCUGCAAUAGAAGCUGAAAAAACGAAUUUGGUGCUGUCUGAUCAUCAGACUCGGCGAGUCCAUCAGAGGACUCGGCGAGUCCAUGCCUAAAAUGUGAUCAAUUCGAUCCAACUCGCCGAGUUGGUUCAUGCACUCGACGAGUUGGACCCCCAGACAGCAUAUUUUCGAGUUUUUUUGGCUAGAAAUGGACUAGGAACAUUACCCUAAGUUGUUUUUGAACUUAUAAACUUGUUUUUGAUGUGGUAAUGUUCAUGCUAAUCCAUUUUCAAAGAUAAUUGUCAAUAGAUUCAUGUUUUGUAUUAGUUUAAGGUUUAGACUAAUUACAUGAAAAAGUUUGAUUUGAAUUAUCUUGUUCUUAUGAGUUGCUUAGAUUAAUAGAAAUGUUGAGUGAAAUAGUUGUUUUCAAUCCAUUUUAAUCUAAGAGUUGAGUAUAAAAUGUGUUUGUGUAACUUGUCCUCAAGUUACAUGAAGAGUCACAUUAAAGACUCAUAAAACUCAUAAAAGUUGGCAAUGGUUACAAAAUGAAGAGUCUUGUGUCAUUGAAUAAUUUUUUUUGACUCCAUAACUUGUCCUCAAGUUAUGGAAGUUCAAGAGUCACUUCAUUAAAGAAAAAUAUGUAACCAUAAUUAAAUCCAUAAGUUAUAAAAUAAAGAAAAAGUUAGUUCUUUUAUUAGUUUAAAGUCUUCCAUAACUUGUCCUCAAGUUAUGGAACUUGAAGAGUUUUUGGAUUAAAACUACUUUAAACACAUAAGUUAUGGAAUUAAUUAGUUUUGAAUAGUUUCAAAACUUGCCCUCAAGUUUUGGAAUUUGAAAAGUUUUCAAGUAUGAAUACUUUAAUUCCAAGUUAGCCCUUAGAAUUUUAAAAGUUAAAAUUCAACCCUUAUACUUUAUAAUAUUAUAAGUUAAUAAUAUAUAUAUGUAUAAGAGUAAAGUCAGUCUUACCGCUAGUACGCCUCAUUCACGAAGCCGGUCUAUAAGGUGGGUAUAAGGUUGUUGCCUAUAAAAUGGCAACUUAAUGGGUGUCCACUCUCACCCACCGCUUGCUUGACUGGUGGAGGGUCGUUAGCCGAACGGGUUUGACAGGACUAGAAUUCUCCCUUCAUUAAAAGUAUUAAUGAUAAUACUAAGUAACUAAACUCUUAAUAAUACCCAAUCUUAGUUACUUAGGAAAAAUGUGAAUAAGGUGCUAAUCCAUGAAAUUACACUUUACACUUUGUCUAAGUCGUUAGUGGAGCGUGUGUGGUUAACCGGCACACUAACUUGGACUUAACAAGGUAGGUAAAGGGUGACUUAAUAUUUAUCAUAGUAUCGAUGGAGCGUGUGUGGUUAACCGGCACAUCGAUUGAGGGGUAAUUUAUUAAGGGUACCAAGUGAUUUGCAUGGUUACUUCACACCUUGUUUUGUGAUCCUCGGCAUCCCAGUCACAAAACCUGAAGGGCACACUCGAGAUUGAAACAUGCCUUUGAAAAGUUCAAUGAAUCUCAAAGAUCUAGGAGUUUCAAAACCAAUUAAAACCUAAUAAUACAUUUCGUUUAUCUUGGUGGAAAUUGGUGAAUCGUCAUUCACCUACCUUCAAAUAUUUUAUAGCUUGGAUUACGGCAUACCUCUUCUAAGUUAUAAAAUAGUUUGUUGGGUCCUAGCCUUAAUAUUUCAUAUUGGGUGUCAUAUUAAGGACUUUAAAUCAACUAUCUUGAAUAUCUCCCAAAAGAUGUCUGGUUUAGACACCUAUGAUCUUCCCAAAUCUCUUGAAACAAGGUUUCCUAAUGAAGAUGAUGUCCCAUGGAUAUCAUACUUCUUCACCUCUUCAAAUUAUUCUCCCUAACCCACAAGUUCUUGAAAAGUUUAAGGUCACUCAGGCCCUAUUGGCAAGGCAAGGUCUAGGUGUGGUCACAUCUUGGAGAUGUAGUCACAUAUUGACAAGCCGGGAGAGUUGGGUGUCAAAGUCUUGAGAAAGUUGGUGGUUCAACCACUUUCUAAGUCACAUAGUGAGUUCCUUUGGGACACCUAUGAAACAGACUAUGACAAGACCCUUAAUGAUCUUAUCUAUUUGCUAAGAUCAACUUCCUAAAACUUUAUGGACAUUGACAAUGAUGACAUUGGAUAUCCAGUAAAGCAUUCUCUUCCCAAUGGAAAGGGAUCGGCCAUAGUCAACUCGGUUGACCAAAUGGUAAAGAGAAAAGCUAAGUCUGUGAUAGUCCCGUGUACCAUUAUCAAAGGGUCCAUAUGUUUAUAUUGCCAAAGGAAGGGGCAUUGGUUGCGAAGCUGCCAAAUUUACCUAAGGAUGUUAAAGUCAAUAAGUUUGACUCUACUUCAGGUAAAGUCCACUAUCUAACUCUGUUAAGUUUCUAUUCUGAGAUUCUUGAUACAUGAUGUGACUGGGUCACAUGGUGAUGUUUUAAGAAUCAAAGAAAAGUGAAGAAACUUAAAGAAAGAAUAUGCUGAAUCUGAUGGCGUAGAUGGAUUUCUAUCGCAUAGUUUGAAGAUCGGAUUCUUGAGCUACUUCUUAGGAGUUAUGAGAUAUUGCUUAGGAAUAGAUAACAACAAGUUUUCAUAUGGAUUGUAAGGAUAAGUUUUUCCGCAAAGUUUUAAAAUAAAAGAAAAUUUUUUAUAUUUUAUUUAUUUUAAAAUAUCCUUACAAUGGCAUUUGAGGAAAAAUUGUUGCUUAUAUGAUUCCAUUAAGAGCAAGAGUGGAAAUAUGAAAUUGAUUCUUUCAUUUGUGGUAAUGUCUAAAUUUACCAAAUAAGGAAAGAUUCUCAUCACCCAAGUUUCAAUUGGACCGGAACUUGGAAUCAUGCAAGUUGUAUAGCAUGAUGAAUGAGAACUUUCAAGUUUUGGAAAAUUAAGACUAAUUACUUGUUCACAUGGAUGUGUGAGUCAAGUAAAGGACUUAGGGAUCGAGUACACAUUCUUGUGCACUGAUUAAGUCCACCACUAAAGAUCGAUAAGAAGAAUCAAAUAAGGCAGAAGGAUAAAAGUUUCUCAAAUCUGAAAAGAUGGGAGAGUACUUUAGUAUCAGUUUUGUGAUCAUCUUAAUGAUUAAGAAACCAUAUCAAAAUUAGUUCUCUAAGGAAAUCUUAGUGCAUUCUUAUGACUAAGAAGAGGAACUUGAAUUGUUGAAAUGGUUAAAUCAAGAAGAUGAGUCAUACUUCGUUCCAAUACAAGUCUUAGAGUCAUACUCCAAGAUUGUCAUUUGAGUGACAUGUCUUAAAGAAGGUUUAAAACACUUGUCAAAUGUAAGAGUAAAAGUUUUCUACUCUUGUACAUUUGAAAUUGGUAAGUUGUGAUGUUUUGGAUAAAACAAAGACCAACUUAGGCCAAUUGGGUAAAGUGUUUUUCUUGAUUAGAAUCCGCACUAUCUCUUGGAUGUUUGACAAGGGAGUCUUAUAUGUCAAGAGGACAGUGGGAGUCUUAAAGGUCUUGAAAGUCUCAAGAAAUAAUCAAGAAUAAAACCUAAAGUUCUUCACUAGCACACGACUUGAGGUUUAUAACCUAUCGUGUUGACAUAUCUGUGCCCAUUCCAGUUAAAGUUGGCUUUGCAUAUGAGUUCUUAGAGUUCUCAGUUUGUUGCAUAACAACUUGGAAGCAAUGGCAGGCCCUUGAGCUGCCAGGUGGCAAGAAGUUAAGAUUGAGUUCAAUCCAUAUGGUUUUGGAUUUGUCAUUAUCUUUGUCUUGUGAUUAUGGUUUGACAAAUUCAUAUGGGUAGGAACUCAUACACCAUAUAAAUCUAAGUGUCAUAAGGUUUCUCUCCGAUUCAUGAAAAUGAUGGUGAGGAAACGCUUUCACUAAGUAGAUUUUACGAAGAUAUCAAUUGUGUUAUUUGCAUUUUCAAAAGUCGUUAGUGGAGCGCGUGUGGUUAACCGGCACACUAACAUGGACUUGUGAGAAAUGGCAAAUGCCUAAGCAAUUGAGACCAUGAUUACGGUAUCCCUUUUCAUGGUUCUUGAAAUUGCUUAGACACACAGGUGAGCUAUCUACGGAAAGGGUGUAUGAAUCUAAAUUUCAGACUGUCCAGCUGAUUUCUGAGUACAUGUCAAAGCUAGUGGGAGCAUAAGUGUUAUGCUAAUAAUCAUCAUGUUAGUGGGAGCAUGAUAAUUAUGAUAAGUAUUGCAAGUUAGCAAUGUUAAUUAUAGAAAACAAAAGUUUCAAUUGGGAAAAAGUUGUUUUGCUAUAAUUAAGGGAGAGGAAAUUAUGCUUCAUCUCAAAUCUAUAAGCUUAGAUCGUGAGGUUUUAAUCAUUUAGUCAAGGAUAUAUAUGAAUUUCAUGUUGGAAUGGCUCAACAUAAGGAAAUUCUGUAUAUGGGUCCAUUAUUUGCGUUCUAAAAUUCGAUUAUGAUUACGGCAUCCCUUUUCAUAAUCUGAAUUAUGAGAACUUGGCAAAUUGAAAUGGAAAUAUUAUAGCAAAAGACUGGUUUAGUCUUUAUGUAAGACAUCAUGAAUCGUGUCCCAUAUGCUUCGGAUAUAGGAUCGAUUACAUGUGCUAUAUUCAUCCGUUCUAAAAUUUUCCAAAUGCCUGGGGCAUUAAGAAGGGAAAAGGUUUAGAACUGGAUAUGACUAAAAGGAUUAAACAAUUGUCGAGGACAAUCUAAGGUUUACCAAAGAUUGGUUACUCAAGGACAAUUGGAAGUAUAGUGAUAAUUCUGGAAGGACCAUAUUGACAUAAUCUGUAAGGAGGCAACUCUUGUUCAGAAGUGAUAGUCAAAAUGGAAUCUGGAAAUGUUUCAAAGUUAGAAUUUUCAAUCUGUGUAAGAUUAAGGAAACUUAAUGCAAGAAGGAUAUUUCCAAGGAGUUGAUCUCCUUUGGAAUACUCUGUAAUGAUUGUUGCCAAGUCUUUGUGACUUUGUGCAUAAUCAUUACAAGAGGAUCAAUGCAUAUAAGUUUAGAAUCUAACAGAUUUCAGUAAAUGGCAUGAAUUUGGAAUUCUUGCAUUUGCAGUAAGGAUUUGGGAGUGUGAAAAGAGAAUCAUUGAAGUUAUGUUCAAUUGAUCUAGUUCACAAAGUAAAGAUCAUAGACAAACAUAGUAUGCAUACUUGGUGUGUGGCAUGACUAGUGUUUAAGAAAACAUAGUGUACAUGCUUGGAGCAUGGGACAACUAUUGUUUUAAAUUCAAGAAUAAAGUUGAUAGCUGAAACAGUAUACAAUGAAUAAUGUGUAAUCAUAUGGUGAUAAAUAAAAGGUGUUUUAUUUAUGUUCAAAGGGUUGAUACCAUAUUGGAUUCAAUUAUUAUUGUGUUUCAUUUUGCAUGUUUUGACUUCCCGAAUAAACUGGGUUAUUCUUCCGGAAUGACUAAGUUAUUCAAACCAUCCACAGUCGGUCAUAUGUUGGAAGUAGAUAUGAAUUAAGACUGUCAUGGGUUGGCUUGUAGAGGUCUAAGGUGUUGGACAAAGGGCUACAACACUCAUGAGUGCUCAUAAGUUCUGAGUAUUGGAUUCAACCCGCGCUCAUUGGAAUCACUUCAUGGAUUUUAUCACGAGUGAUCAUGAGACGAUAAUAUCUUAUAUUCUUCAAACCUAGAGAUAUGAGUUGUUACUAUGAGUUGAUAGUACAUUGAUUGCACGAAAACGCAUUUGGUAACUCGGUGCUAUAAAACGUGCCUUUGUGUAUGAUUCAACAAGUAGUAGAACAAGCCAUAUGAGUCGAAGUUUAUCCAUUCCUUUUACCUUCGGGAUAAAAGCGAUAUCUGUGGGCCCCUCGAUGAUUUGAUGAUGACAAAUGGAAGUGCUCGGCCGGGCCAGGACUGAUUUGAUUUGUUCAAUUAGUCAGUCGUCAUAAAUCGGAAAUCGGGAAACAACAAAUGGACAGAGAGAAUGAUUAUAAUCCAUGUCUCAGUCCAUAUGAUAUCUAGAAUGGAGGAAUAUAUGAUCCCUUAUCUAAUGGACAAGUCAUUGACAAAGGUCAGAGUUCAUCUACAAGGUCAGAGUUCGACAGAAGCUUUUGAGAGCUACGAUUGCCAGUUGGUUCCUGAAGUCAUACGCAAUAAUAGUUUUAGACUUAUCCAAGUGGGAGACUGUUGGAUUAAUGUCUAAGUCCAUAACUAUAAUUGGUAAGACUUGACCCGACCCGGCAUGGUCCAUUUGGGUUGCAUACCAUCAUGCACUUGGAUAGACUAUAAUGAGAGAAAUAAGACACUUAUGGUUAUUAAUAUAUUAUAAGUUCUAGUAUAUUAAUAAUAAGAAUAAUAAGAUUAUUUAAUUAGUAUUGAUCAAGAAUUAAUCUAGGAUUAAUUAAGUGAUCAAAAGAAGACUAAUUAAAUAUAUGGGUUGAUUGUGUAAAUCAUCCAUACUUGUAUAGUGGGCUAAUGCUCCAUGGAUAAUCAAGUUGGGCUAAAACCCAUAGGAUGGUCCAUGGAUGCUCCAUGGUGUAUUUGUACCCAUGGAUCAUGGAAAUGAAAGGCCAUGUCAAUUAGGGUUUACAUGGUGUAACCCUAACUAUAUAAGCAUCUUAUUCUUGACCAAAAUUGGCCACUAGUGUGUGAAGUGAAAGGGCUAGCCGAUUUCAUGAGUUGUAGAAUUCUCUCAAGUUAUUCUAAGUGUUUUGGUGAUUGUGAUUCCAUUUGAGGCUUCCACACUAUUGGGGCUAGGCACUCAAGCUUCAUGAAGACUUUCUACAUCAAAGAGGUAUGUAUUCUAUCUUGUUACACUCAUUGUUUUUGUAUGCUAGAUUAGGAUAAUACCUUGGAAGUUCUUAUUUGCAUGUAUAAUAGAGAAAACAUAGAUCCAAGGUAUUUAGGGUUGCAUGUACACUUAGGAGUGUUAGAAUGCUCAAAACCCAACACUUAUACAUGGAAUGGGGCUAAGCUACAUAAAGUGAGCAACUUUAUGUCAUUGGGGAUCUAGAGAUGUCCAGAUUUGGAACCAUAUCCUUGUGAUAAGUCCAGAUCUGAGUUUGACUCCAACUUGCACCAAAGAUGGCUAUUUACUUCCAAGAAAAGGGAUCUAAGAAACUAGAGAUCAAGGUCACAACUUUAUACCUUAGGAUGAUGGCCAAUACAAAGUAGAUGUUGGAUCUAUUCUUCCUCUCCUUGCUCAUUCCUCUUCAAGCUCUAAAAUCUUUCACAAAGGCACAAGUUUCACCCUCUAAGGCUCACACACUCUCAAGGAAGCUCAACUCUGCAGCUAGGGUUUCUUUUUGGGUUGCUAGGACGAUAAGGGAGGUUGCAAAGGAGCCAUAAGCCCUUUAAAUAGGGCACUAACCCCUGAAAAUUAGGGUUUCUUCCUACAGCUGUUACUCGACGAGUCAGGCCUUCCAACUCAUCGAGUAGCAUCCAAGUCCCGCGUCCUUAUGAUAGUAUCUACUCGAUGAGUUGGAGCACCCAACUCACCGAGUCCAUGCACAAAACCCAAAAACUUAGAUAAAUUGAUUAAUACUUGGAACAUGUGUUACAUCUUGGACAUUUUAGACCAACCUCUACCUCCUCUUGCCCUGAAAUUGAAACCCUAGAGUGAUUUGGUGAGUUUUAAGCUUUAAAGAGUGUUUGUUGAUGGUUUUUGAAGGAUAAAAAUAAGAGGAACACUUAGAGGAGUGGAUUGAGCUUGUAGAUCCAGGGUUAGCUUCUCAUUUGCAAACUUUUUGAGGUAAAAAGCUCACAUCUUGAUGAUCAUAUAUGUUAGAUCUACUUUAUGGUGUAUUUUGUGCACUUUUGAGUCUUUUGUGUUAAAUGUGAGAUUUUGAUCGACUCCAGAAGCAAUGGUUGCUAGAUCUUAUCUCCAUUCAGUCCUCGUGUUCAUAAAAUGUCAAUUUUAUGGAGUAUUUUGAUCCAUGCAUGUAUUAAGACCUUUGUUAAUCUCUUUUUGAGCAUUUGAGUUGCAUAAAGCCAUACACGAGAAUAAAGUUGCCAACUUUACGUGAUAAGUUCUGCUAUAGGACCAGAUUUGAGAGUUUGUCUUAAGGUAUCAACCGAUUAAGUGCUUAAUGGAUUAGGUUGGCAAAUUGGGGAGUACGUUGGGCGUACCCUGCUAGUAUGAUGUGCGUACUUGCCCCGGAUGGAGUACAGUAAGCGUACAAGCUGCAUACGCCUCGUAUACUCAACAAAUGGGCUUUUAGGAUUAACAUCCUCUGUAUUGGGCCAUAGUUGGGUUUGUAAGACUAGGACUGGUUGGGCCAUUAGAUCUCUGUUUUGGGCUUGGAGCUAGCUUGUUGGACUUCUUGGAUAUUAGGCCAUGAUGGGUUUUGGGCCCAAUUUGGAAGAUUUGGCCAUAAAUUAGGCCUUAGGACUUGGGUCUUUUGAAUAGUUGAGUUGGGUCUUGGCUUUAGGCCAAGAUAGAUAAAGGGUAAAAUGGUAUUUUACCCUGGUUAUGGGCCAAAUAACUUAGACUCUUGGUUGUGGUUUAGCAGCUAGAGGUGAGUUUCCUCAAUGUGUUUAGCUAGUCAAAGGCACCAAUGUUGGCCCAUGGUUUAUUAUGUUAGGGUGCUAGAUGUCUGCGUGAUUCUUGCAUGUGCUAUGUUCUUGUAUGUUUAUCGGGAAAGACCUGAUGACUAUCAUGUAUGCUAUUAUAUUUAUGAUUAUUGCAUGUGUUUGUAUGAUUGUAUGUUUAUAUGUUAUAUGUAUACCAGGCGGGGCCCAAUCCCAGGUGAGGCUUGAUGACUGACAGAUCUGUAUACUGAGCUGGGCUUGAUAUUGGGAGGGCCCAUUAUGAGUUUAUUAUGUAUGGUAUGUGGUACUUUAGGGAGCUCAUUAAGCUUUGUGCUUAUAGUUUUUAGUUUAUGUUUUAGGUACUUCUAGUUCGAAAGGGAUGAGCCUGGGAUAAUUGUAGUACACACAUCAUCCUGUUCUGCAUUUUAUGAUUACUCUAAUGUUUCAUAUGUAUUUGAUACAAUUUGUUUUAUCUUGGUUUUAUGAAGACGUUUGGAUUAUAGUUUUAUUAAUUUAAAAUGGAAAAUUUUUGGUCAUGAUUUGUUGGGACGUUACACGAAGCUUGAUUAGGAUUGAAGAUGUCUCUAGAAGGACUUAGAGAUUCGAUGCUAAUUGUUGGAAUCCUAAAGUCUUGGAAUCCAAACACUUGUUGAACAAGUAAAUUGGUUUAUGGCAAGUUGGUCUAAACUAAAGUUUCUUAAUUCAAUUGUACAAGUCGAUAUCAAAUGUCUAUAUAAUCUUUCAAGCUGUGUCAGGGUUAUUAAGAUUGUAACACAAAGGUUUUGAGCUAUUUUCCUUUUAAUCAAAGAGUUUGUUUGAUUAAUUGUGUUUCAGUUCAUAUUAUUUGAUCUUGAAGAUGCAUGGAAUUGAUCUAUUUAAUGGAAAGUUUGAUGGUUAGACUGUCCUCUACUAAAGAUAAAAAAUUUAGAGGAAAGAAUGAUAUGUGGGUAUGUGGUAUAGGUUUAGAUACUAAUGCGGUUGUGGAGUUGGUUGUUAUUCUAAUUGAUAAUACUCCUACACUAUGAAGGCGUAUGUAUGCAACUAGAGUUGUCUCGAUCAAUAUUGAUGUCCAACAACUUCCCCUGGGAUUCGAACAUAUUUUGGAUAAAAAAAGGGCAUGUCAACUCAAUUACCUUGUAUUCAAAUUUUAUGAAUUCGUUUGAUAAGGUUAAAAUGGUAUCUUCUCAACCAAGCAACUCUUACUAACAAUCACUUUUUUCUAAUAAAAAGUUAAAAGGCUGUUGAAUAAAUGCAAAGGUCAAAAAGGUUGUGGGGUAAGAUACGAAAGUGUAAAAAAGGAGAAGAUUGAGGUUAAAAUUAUUUUAUUGAUUAAAUUUACAAAGAGAUCGUACAUAAUUAUAAAGACAAGUAGGAACCGUAAAGAUAGGAAACCUUACAUGUCCAUUGGUUAACUAUGCCAAUGAUAAUAAGUACAAUAUGUACACGCUAACAUUCUCCUUGAAGCUGGAACAUGAAUAAUAAUCAUGGCUAACUUGUUGCAAAUAGAAGAGAUUCAUGAUCCAUAUAAAGCUUUCAUGAAGAAAUUGUGUAUCUGACUUCCUGCUUAAACAUGGGGACUAGAGAUGAUUCCUUCUUUUAGAUUUUUACAAGUGAAAUGCAAUCUACUUCAUUAUGUUUAGUCAUUUCAUGGAACACAUGAUUUUCUGGAAUAUGGAUAGCUUCCUCGUUAUCACAAUAUAGUUUGAUUGCUUUUGAUUGACCAAAGCCAAUUUCAUCAAGCAAAUUUCAUAUAUGUAUCAGCAUAUAUGUAGUCUAAGCCAUAGCUAUAUAUGCAGAUUCAUUAAUUGAUCAUGAAAUGAAAUUAUGUUUCUUACUUAUCCAUAAAACUCUUUUCCCUCCAACAAAUAUUUAGAUUCAACAAUUGAUUGAGAAAUAAGAAUUUGUUUCUUACUUUUGUAUCCCUCUAACAAACAGACAAUAAUAUAUAGUACACCAUUUGUUUUUAGGGUCCCUUUUAUAUGCAACAUAUGUGAACCCUUCGUUGACAUUAUGAUCAUUAGGUAUGAAUAUGAUAAAUAUCAUCUCAAGAUGAGGUUCAUGGAGAUGAAUUAAAUUGUCUUACAACUUUGAGCACAAAAGAAAUGUCUAGGUCUAUACUCGUCAUGUAGUUAAGCUUUCCUAUAAUUCUUCUAUAUUUAUCUAGACAUUUAAGUGGAUCUCCAUUAUCCACUUUCAAUUUGAUAUAUGAAAUCAAUAGGGCCUCAUAAAGUUUUUGGCAAUCAUCUUAAAGUCCUGCAAUAUAUCCAAACAAUAUGUUAGUUGAGACAAUCAUAUCCCUUUCGGAGUAUGUGAUAUCUCAAUUCCUACAUAUUAUUUUAAAGGACAUAGGUCCUUUAGUUUGAAAGCGAUAUACCAAAAAAUAUUUGGGCUUCUUGCCCUAUUCCAUCACUUAAAGUACUUGCAACACCAUCAACAUAGAAGAUGAAGUAAAUAACACAAAUUAAUCUUAAUAGAUUCUUUGUAAGACAAAAUGUCUCCAUAACACUAAAACAUACACACCAAACUCAAGGGUGUUACUUUAAUCCAUAUAGUGAUUUAUGCAAUUUAUAAACUAUGACGUAGUCCCCCGUAUAAACAAAUCGAAAAGGUUACUCCAUAUAAACUUCCUCGUGUAAAUCACCAUUUAAUAAGAGAUUCUUCACAUCUAGUUGGUGAAUGGCCCAUCCAUUAAUACCAUACUGGAUUGGUAGCUAGAUCUCCAAGGAAGUGUGAAACUAUGUAGCUUGAGAGGUUAUCAUGGGAAGAGUUAUUGGAAAGAUUAAAAGAAAUAUAUUGCACCAAAGAAGAAGUGCAAGACCCUAAAAUUGAUUUCUAGAUUCGAAAAAAAUAAAAGAUGAGUAUUUGACAUAGAAUAACUAUAAAUUUUGGAAGCUCUUAAGCUUUUCUAGGCGGUUGGCACCAGAUGAAGCGACUUAGCUAGCUAGGUAGGUGCUAGGUCUACCAUGGAAUUUAAAUUUUAAUUCUAAAGAAACGACUAGUCUUGAUAUGAAAAUGAGGAAUUCAAGGAAGAUUAAGAAAACAAUAGUCAAAUGGGACAAAGAAAGACAUGGAAGCUCAAGUCAUAACAAGAAGAAUGAAUGAAACUUGGUAGCAAUGGGUGGUCAUGAUCACAAGAAGGGAAGGUUUGACGAAACAAGGAAGCAUUGGGAUGGGUCUUGUAGGAUAAUUUCUAAAAGAGAGUGACUUGUUUCAAUUUUGGAAAUAAGGUUCAAGUUUCAACACUGUGUACUAAGAUCAUCAAGUGCUUUAACUGCAAAGAGUAUGAUCAUAUCUCUACAAUGUACACAUAAUCAAAAAGCUAAGGAGGAAAUAAAAGUAAGAGAUGUGAACCACUAAGGGGAAAGGGUUCAAGCUUUUUAAAUGACCAAGACAAAGUCAUGUGAAGAGAAGGAUUUAGUUUCAUGAAGUUUAUUAAGAAUUUCCAUCCCCGUGUCAUUACUCUUAGACUCAGAUCCACUUAUAGUUAUGUGUGAAAAGACUUUAUAAAAAAAUUAAUAACCCCACCAUUUUCUCUAAAACUAAGAGUAAUUAUCGGAAUAUGGAACAAUAUAUCUGUUAUAGUUAGCAAAGAAUAUGCAAAUGUCAUCGUUGAGUGUUAUGGUGUUAGUUUUCAAGAAAACCUCAUUCCUAUGAAAAUUAGAGGAUUCGAUGUUAGCCUUGGCAUGGAUUGGUUGUUAAUGUAUGAGGCUAAAAAAAAUUUAGUAAGAAGUUGGUGCGAUUGAAAUCCACCAAUGGUGACCUGAUUCUCAUUUAUAAAGACAAGAGACGUGUAGCUACUCGUGUUGUUAAUUUGAUGAAGAAACGAAAGUAUUUAAAGAAAGGAUGUCCAACAUAUUCAAAAUAUAUGCUAGACACGGUAAAGGAAAAGAAUACCAAAGAAGAAAUUGAUGUGAUGAAAGAAUUUUAUGAUGUUUUUCUUGAGGAAUUAUCAGGACUUCUCCCCCAGAUCGAUAAGUGAAUAUUCCUAUAAAAUUGAUACCAUGAACUACACAAAUUGUAAAAGAACUAUAUCGAUUAACACAUUUGUUGUUAAGCGAGCUUAUAACCAAACCUCAAGAACUAUUCGAUAAGGGUUUUAUAAGAACAACCACCUCACCUUCGACAGUUCCUAUUUUGUUUGUAAAGAAGAAAGAUGGGUCGAUAAGAAUGUGUAUUAAGAACUGCAACGUCAACAAAGUUACCAUUAAGAAUCAGUAUCCCUUACUGUAACGUCCCGUAUCUGGUAUGUUGUUUUCAUGUUUAUUAUUUUGAAGUUUUCCAGAAGUACUCGGCGAGUCUAUAGCCCGACUCAUCGAGUGCAGACGGGAUUUCGAGAACGUGUAAGUCGGCGACUUGACGAGUCCAUAUUUGGGACUCGGCGAGUCUGCCUGUCUGGAAGAAACCCUAAAUCCCCGGGUUUGCUCACUAUUUAAGCAAUGAUAUGUGCCCCAAACUCGCCUCCUUCACCCUCAGAUAGAGCCUAUGAGCAACCCUAAACCAUUCCUUGUUUGAUUAAGUGUUUUGUGUGGAUUCUUGAAGGCUUGAAGAAGAAAAAGACGAAAGGACCAAAAAGAAGAGGUGUAGAGCAAAGAUCCAAGGUCAAAAUCAAAGUUCAUUGAGGUAUUUCUCGGAAUCAUUAUGUUUUGUGCUUAUAACCUCCAUUGGAACACCUCUAAGGCUAGUUUAAUGUAUUUUCCAAGCUUUAUAGUUGUAUGGAUGCCUUGGUGGGUCGAGAUAUCCCUAGAUCUGUUCAUUUAGGAGUUGUAGAGCCCUGAUCUAUUGCCUUUUUGAUGUUGCUUUGCAUGAGAACCCUAGAUCUAGCCUUUAUUAUGCUUUUUGAGCCUUUUAAUCUUCAUGGAUGCUUAUAGGCACGUAAAGAUAGAAUCUUUACGUGUUAAUCGAGCCUAAGGAGCCCAGAUCUACAAGUUAUAUGUGUUGGAUUCAAGCAGAAUCGAGUUUAUAGUAAAUGCAUGCAUGCGGCCCGACGAGUCGUUCUUAGGACUCGGCGUGUCGAGCCGCGAGCCCCCAAUUUUUCCCCUUAUUGAUUGAUUCUGAGUGGGGACCAGUGAGUAGUGGAAUGGACUCAGUGAGCCGAGUCAGACUCAGUAAUGGAGGUACUCGACGAGUUGUUCAUACAACACGGCGAGUCCAAGGCAAUCUUCUUAGUUAAAGAACAACUCGUCAAGUUGUUCAUACAACUCGGCGAGUCGGAUGCAAAUAGCGUGAGUUCUAGAAUCGAAAGCGAUCUCGUCGAGUUGAUGCCAUACUCGACGAGUAGCAGCGAACAGGGUUGAGAAGUGAGAGUAGGGACUCGGCGAGUUGGCAGCCCAACUCGGCGAGUCAGGUCAACUGUAAGUUGACUUUGACCGGGAGAGUUGACUUUAGCUAGGGGUAAAAGAGUCAUUUCACCCCAAUACAGUUACUAGUAUUUGAUUGAGUGUGUUUGUGGAAUUGUAGCCGGGAGAUACCGGAGCAGCAGCAGAUAGCUUCCAGAGCCAUACACUCAGCAGCCAGUUCAUGAGGCGAGUUUCCUUACAGUAGGAACGGGUCUAAGGCCACAAUGCCGGCCCGUUUAGCUAGGAGUAGUUUCCGGACCUCGGUCCGAUGCAGUAGUUAGUAUGUUUGACGCCUUCCUGGCUCAGACAGGUUUGCGUGUUAUGUGGUCCGGGUUAUGGCCCGAAGCAGUAUGCAGUAUGUGUUGUUGUGUUAGUUGAUAUUUUUGUGCUAUGCUAUGUUCAGUAGUUCCGGACUUCUGACCGAUGCAGUCAGUUCCGGACUUCGGUCCGAUGCAGUUAGUUCCGGACUUUGGUCCGAUGCAGAGGGCAAGGCCCCGGUUAGUUCCGGACUUCGGUCCGAUGCAGUGGGCAAGGCCUAGUAAUUGUUAUAUGUUUAUGUGGUAUGUGGUAAUUUGGGGGAGCUCACUAAGCUUCGUGCUUACAGUUUCAGUUUUGGUUUUAGGUACUUCCGCAAGUAAAGGGAAGAGCUCGGGAUGAUGGCAUCGCACACACCACAGCUUCAUUUUUUGUCCUAGGAGAUUGUUUUGAUACUUAGUUUGAUUUGAUACAGUUGUAUCACGACAUUUUAUUAUGGUUUGAGAUAUUUGACGUAUGGAUUUAUGAUAUGACAUUCAACAUAUGAUUUUAUUAUAUUUAAAAAAAAAUUUAGUUGUAUUUUGGGAUGUUACAAGUUGGUAUCAGAGCCUUGGUUUGAGGGAUUCAGAUACACUCUCAGGUGUGUCUGAAAUCAAACUAAGGGAAAGAUAAAAAGAUUUUCAAAAGGAAAAUGUUUUCGAAAGAAAUUUUUUUGAAAAGCGCUUAGAAAGAAAAGAGUUUUGAAAACAAGAUAAGGGUGUGGUGCAUGCGAUCAGCCGAGCUCAAGUAAGUACUCCCAAGUAACCCAUACAAGUUUUUAUUAUGAUCAAUAGUUUCAGUUUCAUUAGAACAGUAUGCUAGUAUAGGACUAAGGAUCUAGUUGGAUACCUUAUGUGCCUGCUUUGUGUGUUCUAGCUUUAUGAGAAUUGCAUGUUAGCAUCAAGUGGACAGCAGUAGGAUAGCCUAUCUAGGUUAUGCCUGAUAGCACGAGCUUAGCAUUGUAUGCUAGUACAGUUUCUCAUUGCUAGGAUAGAAUUGCUUGAGUAGUUUCCGUGUCCGAAUGCUACUUGCUUUGUGCUUUGUAGGACACUGAGUGAUGGGAGUUAGCCGUUAGGUGAAUGCGCCACAUCACAUGUGAACAGGGUUGAAUAAUCUCAGAGUGUUGGAUUUGGCCCUACUGCGUAGCUCUUGUUUGAGUCUAAUCGUUGUGGGGACGAGUUCUGUACUCGAAGGAUUAUUUGAGCCUCGCCACAUGUGAUGGCAUUCAUGUAAUGACUAAUUGGCAUCACCAGGAGGCCUUCAGCAGCUGAGGACUGGUAAGGAUUGAGUCGGAUAUUUCCCUAGGGCAAGCUUAGGAUGAGUGUAGUAGAGAUCACCAGUAGUAGUAGUGGUCGAGUGGAGUCGAGGCAGUCCUUGAGGAAAGUACGGAUUGAUGUUGAAGGUACUAGGGGCCCAUACUACUGGAAGCAGAGGAUCUAUACUCGAAUCAAGGAAGGCCGAGAUGAGACCGGAGGGUCUGUAUUAGUAGUGAUCCCUCGAGAUAUAUCAGCGUUUCUGACAUUUAUCGUAAUGUGUUUUCAGAAUGGUGGUUUUACGCUCUAGACCAACAGGCGGCAGUUCAGGUGCCGGAGGAGGAUCGGGAUCAGGCUUAGGAGCCGAACAGUUGGAUGAGCAGACCAGAGAGUUCUUCACUUCAGAAGUCACUCGUAUCAUUCUUGAGCAGACUCCAGUGAUCUUUGGUUCGAUCAAGGAGGGUAUACUAGAGAUGAUGGAGGAGAAGCUAGACACCUUUCGUGCUGAGGUGGCGGCCAUGACGGAGUCGCGCACGCUUACUUUCAGGGAGUUCCGGGCAUGUGGAGCUCCAGAUUACCACGGGGCACGGGACCCCAUAGUGGGUACUAGAUGGUUGGCGGAUGUGGCCAACGCAUUCCGCUCGAGUAGAUGUCCCGAGGGGGACAAGGUCAGAUUGGCGUCCUGUCUUCUGAAGGACAGGGCACGGGAUUGGUGGGAGGAGGUUGGACAUGCCAUUGGAGAUGAUGCAACGUUAGAUGCCAUGACCUGGGCUGAUUUCUCUACCAGAUUCAGGGCGGAGUUUGCACUGGUUAUUGAGGUACAGCAGUUAGCCAGGGAGUUUCAGGACCUCACCCAGACUACAGAGACCGUGGCGGAGAUCACCGCCAAGUUCAGGGAAAGGGCUCUUCUCGUUCCUCAGUAUGCAGCUGACGAGGAAAUGAAGAAGGCUCGUUAUCAUGAGAUGCUACGGAGUGAUAUUCGCCAGUUUGUGAGCCGGUCCAGCUGUAAAACGCUGGAUGACAUGAUUGCUAGGGCUCGGGAGAGGGAGAUUGAUCUUGAGAUGGAAAGGAAGAGGAAGCCGGAGGCGGUUUCGGGUAUAGGUAGUUCGGGCAAAAAGCCCAAGGUUUUAGAUCACAGAUCCAGGAGUCAUCAGAGCCAUGGUCGAUGUGGAAAGUGUGGGAGAUUGCAUGAUGGGGUGUGCAAGGCAGGGAGCUCCGGCUGCUACAAGUGCGGUCGGACUGGGCAUUUGAGCAGAGAUUGUACAGCCCCUACUACCGCCAUUGCGACAUCAAAUCUGAUUUGCUUUCAGUGCAAUCAGAGGGGAAAUAAAAAGUCCCAGUGUCCGAGUUUAGCUACAGCGGGGAAGGUGGCGACACCUGCCCCUGCUACCUUAAGGAUUACAGAUGGCCGUCAGGGCCGAGCCGAGGUGCCAGUGGCGAAGAGUAGAGCUUUUCAGAUGACAGCAGAGGAGGCGCGAGCGACUCCUGAUGUGGUGACGGGUAGGUAUCUUCCCUUCAUAUCUGUAUUUAUGAUUGAUUAUCGCUUAUGGUUAUAUGUUUUGUAUAGGGUCGUUCUCUGUGAACGGCAUUUCUGCUACAGUAUUAUUUGAUUCGGGGGCUACCCGAUCGUUUGUAUCGCUAGCGCUUAGCAAGAGAUUUAGUAGAGCUCCAGGGGAGCUGGAUUGUCCACUAGAGGUUGAGACAGCAGACGACAGGACCGUGAGGGUCGCUAGGGUGCACAGAGGAUAGUGUCUUCAGUUGUUCGACGAGCAGUUUCCGGUGGAUUUGGGCCCUAUUCCCCUACGAGGGAAUAAGGUUAUAGUGGGAAUGGAUUGGUUGAGCCCCAAUGGGGCGGUGAUAGAUUGUGAGCUGCAAUUAGUGAGGGUUUGCACUCCCAGCGGGGGAGAGUUAGUGAUUCAGGGCGAGAUGCCACAACGGGAACCAGUUCUAUGUUCAGCGGCGAGAGCGAGGCGUUAUUUUCAGCAGGGUUGCACCAGUUAUGUAGUUUAUGUCUUGGAUGCCCGGGAGAAGGGCAAGACGACAGUUGACGAUGUUCCGGUGGUGCGAGACUUCCCGGAUGUAUUUCCAGAGGAUUUACCGGGAAUACCACCUGAGAGACAGGUCGAGUUCGGGAUCGACCUAAUUCCCGGUGCGGCUCCGAUAGCUAAGGCACCGUACCGGUUAGCUCCCUCUGAGAUGCAGGAGUUGUCAACGCAGCUGCAAGAGCUGCUAGACAAGGGUUUUAUUCGGCCGAGUAGUUCACCUUGGGGAGCGCCGAUCCUGUUUGUGAAGAAGAAGGAUGGGUCGCUCCAUAUGUGUAUAGACUACCAGGAGUUGAAUAAGGUAACGGUGAAGAACCGUUACCCCCUCCCGAGGAUAGACGAUUUGUUUGAUCAGCUUCAGGGGGCAUCUUAGUUCUCCAAGAUCGAUUUACGCUUCGGAUCUCACCAGAUGUGGGUUAGAGGCGAGGAUGUGCAGAAGACUGCUUUCAGGGCCCGCUAUGAUCAUUUCGAGUUCGUGGUGAUGCCUUUUGGGCUCACUAAUGCUCCAGCCGCGUUCAUGGAUCUCAUGAAUCGCGUAUGCAGACCGAUGCUGGAUCGGUCUGUGAUAGUAUUCAUAGAUGAUAUCUUGGUGUAUUCCAAGACUCAGGAGCAGCAUGAGGAGCACCUGAGGGAGGUGCUAGAAGUUUUGAGAAGGGAGAGACUUUUCGCAAAGUUCUCCAAGUGCGAGUUCUGGUUGCGUGAGGUGUAGUUCCUUGGUCACCUCGUAAACCAGAAGGGUAUUUUGGUAGAUCCGGCCAAGAUAGAGGUUGUGAUGCAGUGGGAGGUCCCGAAGUCUCCAUCCGUGAUUCAGAGCUUCCUAGGUUUGGCAGGGUAUUAUAGGAGAUUCAUUCAGAAUUUCUCCAAGAUAGUAGUACCGCUCACCCGACUGACCAAGAAGUCGGUGGUGUUUCGUUGGGGGCCUGAGCAGCAGGCGGCGUUUGAGACCCUUAGGCAGAGAUUGUGUGAGGCUCUGAUCCUUACCCUGCCAGAGGGAAUAGAGGAUUUUGUAGUCUACUGUGAUGCCUCAAUCACAGGUAUGGGAGUAGUAUUGAUGCAGCGAGGGCAUGUGAUAGCUUACGCCUCGAGACAGUUGAAGCCUCACAAGGCUAACUAUACUACCCACGAUUUAGAGCUGGGGGCGGUGGUGUUUGCCCUCAAGAUUUGGAGACAUUACCUCUAUAGGGUCCGUUCUACCAUUUACACGGAUCACAAGAGCUUGAGGUACCUAUGGAUCAGCCGAAUCUAAACAUGAGGCAGAGACGGUGGUUGGAUGUGCUGAAGGAUUAUGAUUGUGAGAUCCUUUACCAUCCAGGGAAGGCCAACGUAGUGGCCGACACCCUAAGCCGCAAGGCGACAACAGCCCCCAUCUGGGACUUAUGUUUGAGGAUGACGGUGAUUACUCCGUUGUUGGAGCGGAUCAGAGAGGCUCAGGUUGAGGGCCUCAAGGAGGAAAGGCAGAAGUGCGAGAGGAUAGUGGGCCGAGUAGCUUCGUAUGAUUAUGAUAGUCGAGGGUUGUUGACUCUUCACGGGAGAGUGUGGGUACCGUACUGGGGCGGAGUACGGAAGGUGCUGAUGGACGAGGCUCAUAAGUCUCGAUUUUCUAUCCACCCCGGGGUGACGAAGAUGUAUAGAGAUCUUCGACCCGAUUACUUGUGGCCCUGCAUGAAGCGGGAUGUAGCCUGGUAUGUAGAGAAGUGCCUGACCUGCAGGAAGGUCAAGGCAGAACACUAUAGGCCUCACGGCAAGAUUCAGCCGUUAGACAUUCCCGUGUGGAAAUGGGAGGACAUCACCAUGGAUUUUAUCACCAAGCUUCCCAGGACCGCAUGUGGGGUAGACUCGAUUUGGGUAAUAGUGGAUCGGUUGACGAAGAGUGCUCACUUUAUACCGAUCCAGGAGAGCAUAUCGGCGGAAAAGUUAGCCGACAUCUAUGUGCGGGAGGUAGUGGCACGUCAUGGAGUGCCGGUAUCGGUGGUGUCAGACCGAGACGUCCGUUUUACUUCCAGAUUUUCGAAGCGGUUUCACGACGAGAUGGGUACUCGUCUUCAUUUCAGCACCGCUUUCCACCCUCAGACGGACGGGCAGAGCGAGAGGACGAUUAAGACUCUCGAGGACAUGCUCUGGGCAUGUGUCCUAGACUUCGGUGGCAGUUGGGAUACGUAUCUUCCGUUAGCGGAAUUUUCGUAUAACAAAAGUUACCAUGCGAGUAUUGAUCGGCCUCCCUUCGAGAUGCUCUAUGGGAGGAAGUGCAGGGCCCCGAUUUGUUGGGGCGAGGUCAGUCAGUGAGUCAUUGGGAGCACCGAAGUGGUGCUCAGAACGACCGAGUUGAUUCAGCAGGUUCGUAGCAGACUACAGACUAUGCAAAGUCGGUAGAAGAGCUACGCUGACAGGAGGCGUUCAGACUUGGAGUUCCAGGUGGGCGAUAUGGUCCUCCUGAAGGUCUCACCCUGGAAGGGUGUCAUCAGGUUCCGGAAGAGGGGCAAGUUAGGCCCCAGGUUCAUUGGUCCUUUUAGGAUUUUGGCCCGGGUUGGACGGGUUGCGUAUCGGUUAGAUCUUCCACCAGAGCUUAGCCAGAUUCACAACACUUUCCAUGUUUCCCAAUUGAGGAAGUGUUUGGUGGAAGAGUCAGCGGUGGUGCCCCUGGAGGACAUUCAGGUCGAUAGCAGCCUGAACUAUAUUGAGAGGCCGAUAGCGAUCUUGGAUNNNNNNNAAGAGGGUUGAAUUAGUGAAGGUGCAGUGGCAGCACCGGAAGGGGUCUGAGUGGACGUGGGAGGCUGAGGAGGAGAUGAGAGAGCACUACCCGGAGUUGUUUGCAAAUUCAGCCGUAGCAGACUUUGAGGACGAAGUCUGAGUCAAGUGGGGGAGAAUUGUAACAUCCCGUCUCUGGUAUGUUGUUUUCAUGUUUAUUAUUUUGAAGUUUUCCAGAAGGACUCGGCGAGUCUAUAGCCCGACUCGUCGAGUGGAGACGGGAUUUCGAGAACAUGUAAGUCGGCGAAUCGACGAGUCCAUAUUCGGGACUCGGCGAGUCUAUAGCCCGACUCGUCGAGUGGAGACGGGAUUUCGAGAACAUGUAAGUCGGCGAAUCGACGAGUCCAUAUUCGGGACUCGGCGAGUCUGCCUGUCUGGAAGAAACCCUAAAUCCCCGGGUUUGCUCACUAUUUAAGCAAUGAUAUGUGCCCCAAACUCGCCUCCUUCACCCUCAGAGAGAGCCUGUGAGCAACCCUAAACCAUUCCUUGUUUGAUUAAGUGUUUUGUGUGGAUUCUUGAAGGCUUGAAGAAGAAAAAGAAGAAAGGACCAAAAAGAAGAGGUGUAGAGCAAAGAUCCAAGGUCAAAAUCAAAGUUCAUGGAGGUAUUUCUUAGAAUCAUUCUGUUUUGUGCUUGUAACCUCCAUUGGAACACCUCUAAGGCUAGUUUAAUGUAUUUUCCAAGCUUUAUAGUUGUAUGGAUGCCUAGGUGGGUCGAGAUAUCCCUAGAUCUGUUCAUUUAGGAGUUGUAGAGCCCUGAUCUAUUGCCUUUUUGAAGUUGCUUUGCAUGAGAACCCUAGAUCUAGCCUUUAUUAUGCUUUUUGAGCCUUUUAAUAUUCAUGGAUGCUUAUAUGCACGUAAAGAUAGAAUCUUUACGUGUUAAUCGAGCCUAAGGAGCCCAGAUCUACAAGUUAUAUGCGCUGGAUUCAAGCAGAAUCGAGUUUAUAGUAACUGCAUGCAUGCGACUCGACGAGUUGUUCUUAGGACUCGGUGUGUCGAGCCGCGAGCCCCCAAUUUUUCCCCUUAUUGAGUGAUUCUGAGUGGGGACCAGUGAGUAGUGGAAUGGACUCAGUGAGCCGAGUCAGACUCAGUAAUGGAGGCACUCGACGAGUCGUUCAUACAACUCGGCGAGUCCAAGGCAAUCUUCUUAAUUCAAGAACAACUCGUCGAGUUGUUCAUACAACUCGGCGAGUCGGAUGCAGAUAGCCUAAGUUCUUGAAUCGAAAGGGAACUCGUCGAGUUGAUGCCAUACUCAACGAGUAGCAGCGAACAGGGUUGAGAAGUGAGAGUAGGGACUCGGCGAGUUGGUGGCCUAACUCGGCGAGUCAGGUCAACUGUAAGUUGACUUUGACCUGGAGAGUUGACUUUAGCCAGGGGUAAAAGAGUCAUUUUACCCCAAUACAGUUAUUAGUAUUUGAUUGAGUGUGUUUGUGGAAUUGUAGCCGGGGAGGUACCGGAGCAGCAGCAGAUAGCUUCCAGAGCCAUACACUCAGCAGCUAGUUCAUGAGGUGAGUUUCCUUCUAGUAGGAACGGGUCUAAGGCCACAAUGUCGGCCCGUUUAGCUAGUAGUAGUUUCCGGACCUCGGUCCGAUGCAGUAGUUAGUAUGUUUGACGGCUUCGUGGCUCAGACAGGUUUGCGUGUUAUGUGUUCCGGGUUACGGCCCGAAGCAGUAUGCAGUAUGUGUUGUUGUGUUAGUUGAUAUGUUUAUGCUAUGCUAUGUUCAGUAGUUCAGGACUUCUGUCCGAUGCAGUCAGUUCUGGACUUCGGUCUGAUGCAGUUAGUUCCUGAUUUCGGUCUGAUGCAGGAGGCAAGGCCUCAGUAGUUCCGGACUUCGGUCCGAUGCAGAGGGCAAGGCCCUGGUUAGUUCCGGACUUCGGUCCGAUGCAGUUUCUGGACUUCGGUCCGAUGCAGUGGGCAAGGCCCAGUAAUUGUUAUAUGUUUGUGUGGUAUGUGGUAAUUUGGGGGAGCUCACUAAGCUUCGUGCUUACAGUUUCAGUUUUGGUUUCAGGUACUUCCGCAAGUAAAUGGAAGAGCUCGGAAUGAUGGCAUCGCACACACCACAGCUUCAGUUUUUGUCCUGGGAGAUUGUUUUGAUACUUAGUUUGAUUUGAUACAGUUUGAUCACGACAUAAUAUUAUGGUUUGAGAUAUUUGACGUAUGGAUUUAUGAUAUGACGUUCAGCAUAUGAUUUUAUUAUAUUUAAAAAAAAUUUUGAGUUGUAUUUUGGGAUGUUACACUUACCCUGGAUUGAGAAUCUAUUUGAUUAAUUGUAGGGAGCGAAUUAUUUUUUUAAAAUAAUUCUUCAAUUCGUUUAACAACUAAAAGUAAGAAAUUAAUGAAAAAUUUUAGAAGACUACUUUUCAAACUAGAUACGACUAUUUUGAGUUUUUGGUGAUGCCUUAUGGCUUAUGCAAUAUGUAUGCGACUUUUAUCGACUAGAAAAAUAGGGCAUAUAAAUUGUAUCUCAAUACGUUUAAGGAAGAGAAGUUAUAUGAAAAAUUCUUAUCUACACGAAGAUAAAUGAAAAGCAUGAAGAACACUAAGACUUGUGUUUUAGACAUUGAAGGAAGAGAAGUUAUAUGCAAAAUUUUCAAAAUUUGACUUCCAGAUUGAAGAAAUAAAAUUUCUUAGUCACAUAAUCAACCAAAAAUUAGAUAAAAGUGGACCCAUCCAAGAUUGAAGUUGUUGCAAAAAUGGGAAUUACCAAAAAGAGUAACUAAGAUAAGAAGUUUCCUUGGAUUGUCGGGUUAUUACCACAAAUUUAUUGAAAAAUUCUCACUGAUUUCAUGUCCCUUAAUGACAUUGACUAAAAAGAAUAAGAAGUAUAUAUACUCCAACAUCCAUAAGAAAGCAUUUAAAGACCUUGAGAAGAAGCUAGUGAAGUGCCUAUUCUUACAUUACUAGAAAGUGUGGAAAAUUUUUGUUUUGGACAAUGAUGCGUCCGAAAAAGGAUUGCAUUGUAUUCUUACCCAAUUGGGUAAAGUGAUAGCCUAUUCAUCAUGACAGUUGAAGCCAUAUAAGUUGAAUUAUUCAAACCAUGAUUCAAAACUNNNNNNNNNNNNNNNNNNNNNNNNNNNNNNNNNNNNNNNNAUAUAUAUAUAUAUAUAUAUAUAUACACACAUUAUUUGUAUGAAAUAAAAUCUCAUUUGUACGCUGAUCACAACAGUUUACACUACUUGCUUACUCAUAAAGACUACGAUUUUUAUUAUGAACUUGUAUAUCAUUCUAACAACGCUAACAUAGUGGUUGAUGCUUUAAGUAGAAAAGAAAUAAAGGAAAAAAGGUGGUUAAGUGUCUAAUAAUUUAUGUGAUACCAUCCAUUGUUGAAGCUUUGAAAGAGGGACAAUAAAUACAAGUAAAAAGCAUAAUUGGAAGAAACAUAAAUUAAGGAAAUCUAUAGUUUUUUAGAAGGACUCAUAUGGAUUAAAACAUUCUAGAGUCAGAUAUAGGUACCUAUGCAUGUAGAUAGGAAAAAGAUGUUACUAGAUGAGGCCCAUAAAUCUAGAUACUUAGUGCGCCUAGUAUAAGCUAAGAUAUAUAUGAAUUUGAAGUUGUAUUAUUAGUGGUCUACCAUGAAGCUCGAUAUUGAAAAAUAUAUUAGUGCUUGUUUGACUUGUUCUUUAAGUAAAACUAAGCAUCAAGAGGAAUUAUGCAAGAGGAAUUAGGAAUAAUUUUUUUUCUUGAUUACUAUUACCAUCUAUAGACUGACGACCAUAAUUAGAUAAUAAUUCAGAGUUUAGAAGAUAUGUUGAGAUCAUGUGUGCUAGAGUUUUCGGAGAGUUGUGUUGAGCAUCUCCUAUUGAUUAAAGUCUCUUAUAACAAAAACUAUCACUCGACGAUUAAGAUGGAAACAUAUGAAGAAUUGUAUGGAAAGAAGUACUAAUCAUUGUCUUGUUGGUUACAAGUUAAUGAGAAAUUAUUCAUGGGGCCUAGUUUGAUUCAUGAGACGAUUGAGAAAGUGGAAAGUAUUAGGGAGAGAAUGUUGGUGGUGGUAGGGUCGACAAAAGAACUAUGCAAACAAGAACCAUCUAAUGAAAUUUGAAGUAAGUGAUUAAGUACUAUUGAAGGUGUCACCAUCGAGAGGGUAGAUAUAUUUGGAAAGAAUAUGGAAGUUGAAUCCAAGGUAUAUUGGGUCAUUGAAUGUGUCAGAAAGAAUUAGGAAACAAUCUUAUCAUUUGGAGUCACCUUAAGAGUUGCAUGGAAUUCAUAAUAUAUUUAAUGUGUCUUAUUUGUGGAAGUUAUGUUUUAGGGAACAAUGGUUACCAAUGUGUGAAAGUUAAGAUUUGGUUCUUGUUGACUAAAUAGGACUUAGAUGUCAAAAGUUAUAUCAAGGUUAUUUAGGGAAAUAUUACAGUUACUAGUUAGUUUCCAAGUCAAAAUGCUAGUUUAAGUGUAAGCUUUUGAAUUUCAGGGACAAUAUUAGACAAAUACUUAUAGUUUUGACAGUAGAUCUCCAACCCUUCCUCGCCCCCUAUUCAAACAUAUUUAGCCCCCAAGAGCUUUUCCAUGGCUAUUUUACCUUAUGUAAUGAUGAUUGAAGCUCUUGAAAGAAGUCAUUGAAGACCUGGACAUUCCCCCAACAGUCCCUAGCUUGAGAAGGUAUAUCUAAUUCUUUUCACUUUAAUGUUUAUGUUAGGGUUUAUAAAAAUUCUAAAAUAUGUUAUUCAAGUUUUAUUCUAUGUUUUAUUGGAGUUUAUUAACUUCAUUCUCCUAUUUGAUUUAAUAUUCAAACAACAUCUCCUUCAUAGACACUUGAAUAAAGUUUUAAUUGAGAUUUAGGGGUUUCCUAACCUUAUAGUUUUUUUGGGAUGACUUGGAGGGUUUGGGCACUUAGUUGCAUUGCAUAGUGUAUAUUGUACUUAUUUUGUUUUAUUGUUUUUUUUUUUUUUUUUUUUUUUUUUUUUUUUUUUUUUUAUGUUUGUAUGCGAUUUGAUGUUUAUGACAAUGUACUUUGACUUAUGUUUUAUCACCAAUGAUGAAUUUUGACGAUUUUGUUAUUUUGUUGAGGUAUGAGUUUGUAUGUUUAGAUAUGAACUUAGUGUCCCUUCAUAUGUUAUCUAUUUAGUGUCUAACCCUAGGAUUGUACUCACUAUCUUCCCCAUAACCUAACCCACUGUAUUGAUAUAUUUUUACAAGUUAAAUAACCACUUAUUGUUAGAAAUGAGAAUUCAGAAGAUUAAAGAUUUUUAGAAGACUUAUGGUUUUUGUAAUGAUGAUAUUGUUUCCUUUAGAAUUGUUUUUACAUAACUAUUGUUACCCUCUAACAUGAUGUUUUCCAAACUAAUUUGAAAGUGAUGUAAUGGAACCACGCAAUUGAAAUUUGCAACUUAUUUUGAUCGAAAAUAUUUUGUUAAAAUGUUAUUUAAAACCGCCAUGCAAGGCGUUUUGCAAUGUGAACAACAAAUCGUAAGCGGCAUUCAAAUUUUGAAGAUGUUGGCCGACAACCUUGAGGGCUAGGACCUAGCGAUGAAAAAACAAAUUCGUAUGUAAUUUUAUUUUUCUUUGUUUGUUUUCAUUUUUUCAUUUUUUAAUCUAUAAUGUAGUUUUAUUUCAUAAAUUAAUGUGACUUUUUAUGAAUUUUUGUUCAAUCUUAUAUUUUUAAUUUCAAUUAUUAUAAAUUUUAUAAUUAAAAAUAUACUCUUAAUGUGGUGGUAUGAAAAGUAUUUCCAACGGUCUAAGUUUAUCUAAUUAUAAUUGAUAAAAAAAGAAAAAAUAGGAAAAUGUUUGAAGAUGCUUAGAAUACUAUUAGACGAUUUAUAAUUAUAAUUUGUUUCUUUGAAUAAAUAAAAAAAUAUCGGUAAAGCAAACCAAAAAUAUUGGACGAUCAAAAAACAUACUCCCUUAUCCAAAUGUUGAUUGUGAUCAUUACCCACCACUCAUUAGUUUCACGACACCAUCUUUUUCACUGAAAUAGAUUGAAAAGCAUACCUGCAAGGCGAUGGCAACUCGUCUGGUUGAGGAGUAUCAGGAGCCAUGGUGCAAAAGAAAGAGUCUCGCCAGUUAGUCACCGCUGCAGUGUACAAGUCAAAGUUGCUGUGGUGCACGAACUUAUGCUUCCCGCUGCGAUCCCUAGUGUACCACUGUUUCUUCACCUCACUAUCCUGCUCAAAAAACCCUAAAACACCUUUUUUCAUCUCUUCCAACAUGCUAUCAGGAAUUCCAUGAUUCACUAUCUGGAAGAAACCCCAUGUCUCGAAUGCAUCCCUCACUUUCUCGAUCACCUCUUUUCUCCGGAUCGGAUCUUGGUUGAUUCCUUCCAGAUCGAUGGUCGGAAGACUAAGCUCUGAGUGUGAGUGUUGAUUGGAGUUUAGAUUUUCAGGUGAGGGUAGAUGGAACAUCCGAGGGACCUCCGUUAUUCCGGCAUCUACAAGUCCUUUGACACCAGUUUUGGUUUCGUCGAAAGCUGUGAGCUCAGCUUUCCGGUCAUACUCAGGUGUGCAUGGAGACAUACUAAAGAGGGCCAUCUUCUCAGUACUCUUGUGUGGCUUCUACACUAUCCCACUGGAUAUUAUCUUCAAUAUAAGAUAUUAUUCACUGCAUUGAUAAUCAUUAGUAUCAUUUUUUAUGUCGUUUUAUGUAUACUGUUUUCAUGAUUUAUCAUCUAUUGUCGGUUGGCAUUGUUAUAUUUGAUAUUCAUAAAACUAUUUUUUUUCCACCAUAAGUCAAUAAUUUCUUGUCUAAAAGUAUUUUGAUGAUAAAAUGAAAUCUCAAACAUCCUUUAAAUAUCGAUCAAAAUAUUUGUAAUCGGUAUUUUGUGACAACUAAUUUUUUUUUUUUUUUAAAUUGGUCAUUAGAUUACCAAGGUAUUCUUAAUAUUUCAGAAUACUUUUUGUAACAUCAUUUUUUCAAGAAGUUCUUUAUUUUCGGGAUUGUGGACAAUGAAUGAAUUAAGUAAAGGUAUUGGGUUUCAAGGGAAUGAGAUUUAGAUCUUAUUGGAUGAUGACAAUGUUGGAUAAGUGAUUAAAGCUUUCGUUUGUGUCUUGGAAUCAAAGGAUAAAAUGAGAAAAAUGAUGUUUUAGACUUCUUUCAUGAAUUAUGGUUUUUAGUUCAACAUGUGUUAAGCAAAAAUUAACUAGAUAGAAAAAUGGGGCUCGUAAAUACAUUUAUGUGGAUAUAAAGAUAGCCGAAAACGUAGUUGAAACGAAGAAAUUAUGACUAUUUGAAGUUAGAGUGAAAUUGGAUGAAAACUCGUUCUCACGACGUGAGAAGUGCUCAUAAAGUGAGAAUAUAUCCUCAUGACAUGAGAUGUAACGACCGAAAAAUACAAUCAAUUUUAAAUUUUUCAAAAACAUCUCGAUUCCAUAAAAUCUUUACAAAAAGGUUUUCAAUACAAAACAUUUAUCGUGUUCCCAGAAUCAUAACACUACGAAAUCAUGAGGAGCGGUACGAUCACGCCUUCGCCUUGCCACGAUCUCCUAAAGAACCUGAAAAACAUGAAACCACAACUGUAAGCCCGAAAGCUUAGUGAGAUAUCCCCAAAAUACCAACCGCAAAUACCAUACACACAUAUCAUGCCACAACAUAUCUAAACACAGAACAACCAUGCUCUCCGGGUCUGUUGUAUGACUGGUCCGCCGCACCGGCCUAUAGUCCACCUGGUCCACCCUCUGAGUCUAUCCGCNUUGGUCCGCCCGCACCGGCCCUUCAACCCACCUGUUCCACUCUCUGAGUCUACAGUAUGACUGGUCCGCCCGCACCGGGCCUUCAGUCUGUCUGGUCCACUCUCCGAGCCUUCGGCACGUCUAGUCCACCCUUUCGGGACCUAUAGCCUAUCCGGACUGCUCGCUGGGCCUACGGGACAACCGGUCCGCCCUGGGUAUCUUGGCCUAAUACACACAUCAGGCCCCGCCUCAACCCAACUCCAGUCCAAACAACCAUGUGCACAUACAUACAUACAAUCAUAAAGCAAAUCACAAUCCUCAAGCAGAUCAAACAAAUCACAUAACAUAUCAUCAUCCUAACCAGGAUACCGACCUAACCGGUCACUAGCAUAGCGCCUCCCUAUCUCUCAGGAUACCGAUCUCAAUCAGGCCUCUAACAUAUACCAUCCUAACUCUCAAGAUGCAAACAUAUCACAGCAACAACAUCACAAUAACAUAGCAACAACUACCCGGAUCUCAAUUCGAUAAGGGCCGGCCUUGGUGCCUUAGACCCUGUUGAUAUGGUGAGGAUAACUCACCUCGAAAAUGUCGACUGAGCAGAUAACCCAAGCUGCUCCGAUCACUGAUACGAUCUCCACCACUGGUCAACCACCAAUGCACUGAACUCAAAACAAUAAUCAACAAUUACUAAAAUACCCCUGGAAACCACUGAUCAACCCUUGGCCAAAGACAAGGUCAAAGUCAACCCCUGACUGACCCUACUCGCCGAGUCAACCCUAUGACUCGCCGAGUUCCCAUACUCAGAACUUUACUCAAUCCGCGACCUAACUCGCCGAGUCACCCCGAGACUCGCCGAGUCCAACAACUCNNNNNNNNNNNNNNNNNNNNNNNNNNNNNNNNNNNNNNNNNNNNNNNNNNNNNNNNNNNNNNNNNNNNNNNNNNNNNNNNNNNNNNNNNNNNNNNNNNNNNNNNNNNNNNNNNNNNNNNNNNNNNNNNNNNNNNNNNNNNNNNNNNNNNNNNNNNNNNNNNNNNNNNNNNNNNNNNNNNNNNNNNNNNNNNNNNNNNNNNNNNNNNNNNNNNNNNNNNNNNNNNNNNNNNNNNNNNNNNNNNNNNNNNNNNNNNNNNNNNNNNNNNNNNNNNNNNNNNNNNNNNNNNNNNNNNNNNNNNNNNNNNNNNNNNNNNNNNNNNNNNNNNNNNNNNNNNNNNNNNNNNNNNNNNNNNNNNNNNNNNNNNNNNNNNNNNNNNNNNNNNNNNNNNNNNNNNNNNNNNNNNNNNNNNNNNNNNNNNNNNNNNNNNNNNNNNNNNNNNNNNNNNNNNNNNNNNNNNNNNNNNNNNNNNNNNNNNNNNNNNNNNNNNNNNNNNNNNNNNNNNNNNNNNNNNNNNNNNNNNNNNNNNNNNNNNNNNNNNNNNNNNNNNNNNNNNNNNNNNNNNNNNNNNNNNNNNNNNNNNNNNNNNNNNNNNNNNNNNNNNNNNNNNNNNNNNNNNNNNNNNNNNNNNNNNNNNNNNNNNNNNNNNNNNNNNNNNNNNNNNNNNNNNNNNNNNNNNNNNNNNNNNNNNNNNNNNNNNNNNNNNNNNNNNNNNNNNNNNNNNNNNNNNNNNNNNNNNNNNNNNNNNNNNNNNNNNNNNNNNNNNNNNNNNNNNNNNNNNNNNNNNNNNNNNNNNNNNNNNNNNNNNNNNNNNNNNNNNNNNNNNNNNNNNNNNNNNNNNNNNNNNNNNNNNNNNNNNNNNNNNNNNNNNNNNNNNNNNNNNNNNNNNNNNNNNNNNNNNNNNNNNNNNNNNNNNNNNNNNNNNNNNNNUCGCUCUUUCCCAAUUUACACUUUUAGCCCUUCAACUCUACUCUUGCUAUUUCGGGAUGUUACAUGAGAACUGUGCAUCUCAAAGCUCAUGAAAAUUUUAGGGUUUUUAAGGUAUUUAAAGGUAAGGAUUCAUGUUUUAGGGUAUUUUUUUAGCCUCCAUCAUAUCUAGAACCUCUUGAAAGAAACCCCUAGCCUCCAUUUUUAAGAUUUGACCCUCCCUUCUCCUCUCUCAUCUACUUUUUGGAGUUUUUGGUGGUUUUGAAGCAAUGUUUUCAUAUAAGUUUGAUCCUUAAAGCUUGGCAAUUAGAGAUCCAAACUCUCAUCUACCUUCUAUACCUUUGUAAGUUAUAAAGUUCUAAGAUUUAUUGCAUUUCAUCUUUGGAUCUAAGUGUAUUUGGUGUUUUGGUCCAUGUUAAUGAUUUUUGAGUGAGAGUUGGGAAUAAAGUUUGCAACUUUAUUACUCUCCAAGGUCCCAACAGCAUUGUAUGUUUUAGAUCUGGACUUCAACACCUUUUAAUCAAGUUUAGAAUGUUUUCUUGGACCUCAUGGACUAGGAAAGUUUUGAUCCUUUGCCUUCCUUUUCAGCCAUGCAAGUUAUUUUGGUCAUUUAGGUCAUCGUGGUGUAUUAAAGUUUGGAUCUUGAAAGCUUAAGACAUUAUUAUGGAUAAAGUUGAAUGAAUCUGCUGCUGAUAGUUUAUCUUCUCAUGGUUCAACCGUUCCAGUACAAAAAUGGAAACCAGUUAUGAAAGUUAAGCAGGUUGCGAAGGCUGAGGUGAAAAUCAAGGAAAACCCAAAACUAUUGAACAAGUUUAUUUCAAUAUCUAGAUCUGAUGAUGUUGAUUUAAUUCAAAGUGUGAAGGAAAAAGUAAAAAUCUGGGUUUUAAAUUCUAAGAAUCUGUUUAAUGAUACUAAUGAAGGACCCAAAAAGUCUUGGGUUCCUAAAAUUUUUCAUUAAUUGCAGAUGAUGUGUGACGAGCAAUAUGAUUCGAAAUGGUAUAUUGACAGUGGUUGCUCUCGUCAUAUGACUGGAAGAAAGGAGAACUUGUGCGAAUAUAGAAGCUUGGAAAAUGCUGGAGUGGUCAAAUUCGGUAAUAAUCAUAAAUGUCAAGUGAAAGGCUAUGGAAAAGUCACAAAUGGGCAAUUUACGGUAAAUAGAGUUGCUUAUGUGAAAGGCCUUCAACAUAACUUGAUUAGUGUUUCGCAACUUGUUGUGGGCACUGGAAAUCAGGUGGUGUUUAAUGAAGAAGGCAACAUCAUAUCAAAAGUGAACACAAAUGAAGUGCUUCUCAAGUCAAAAAGAUAUGGAGAUAUGUUCACACUUGACAUCAAUCCGAUUGUGGGCAAACCAGCAGUGUGUCUCUUGUCGAAGGCUUUUAAUGAUAUUAGCUGGCAAUGGCAUCGCAGAUUGUCUCACUUGAACUUUUGCAAUAUCAAUAAACUUGUCACUGAAGAUUUGGUUCGAGGUUUGCAUGUACUUAAAUUUGAUAAUGAUACUUUAUGUUCAGCUUGCAAACAAGGAAAACAACACAGAAAAGGACAUCCAGUCAUUAUAGAUUCAAAUAUCGUAGAACCGUUGGAACUUCUUCACAUCGACUUAUGUGGACCAUCGACUGUUGACACACUCAACAAAAAGCGGUACAUGUUAGUUGUUGUUGAUGGUUUUUCUCGAUUUACAUGGGUAUUUUUUCUCAGGUUAAAAUAUGAUGUUGCUCAAACGAUGAUUGACUUUAUCAAGAAGAUUGAGUUGAGUCUUAAAAAGAGUGUUUGCAAGAUCAAAAGUGAUAAUGGUUCUGAGUUAAAAAAUCAAAAUCUGGAUUCAUUUCUCACAGCUAAGGGAAUUUCGCAUAAUUUUUCAUCACCAUAUACACCACAACAAAAUGGUGUGGUCGAAAGGAGGAAUAGGUCUCUAUGCGAAGCGGUCAGGACAAUGUUGACAUAUGUGAACUUACCUCAAUAUCUUUGGGCUGAAGCUGUGUCAACUGCGUGUUUUACUCAGAAUCGUUCAUUCAUUCAUCGUAGAUUCAAUAUCACUCCAUAUGAAAUACUUAACAAUCGAAAACCUAAUGUAAAUUUUUUACAUGUUUUUGGUUGCAGGUGUUUUAUAAUGAACUUAAAAGAUAAUCUUUCGAAGUUUGAUGCGAAGGCAGAUGAAGGCAUAUUCUUAGGAUAUUCGCAUAAUUCUAUUUCAUACAGAGUGUUAAACAAGCGAACACGAAAAGUUGAAGAGACUUUCAACUUAACCUUUGAUGACUAUUUUAUUAAGCAGAUAGAUCGCAAAUUUGAACAAAAAUCCAUCAUAGCUGAUUCAAAUACUCAAGUUGAAAAUGAAUAUUCUAUUGCUUUUGAUUAUGAAUUAAUAUUUGGUAUUCCUGAUAGGGCUAUGGAUGCUGAAAUUCAUGCUACUGAUAAUCAAACAUCAGAAUCCUCAAAACACAAUGAUGACUCUACUUGUACAUCUGACUCAAAUUGUUGCGAAAGCAUGCCUGAAGUUCGUAUGGAGGGGGAGCAUAUGACUGAUGAAAUCAGUGUUUAAGGUGGGCAUACUUUUGAGGGGGAGAAAAGAAAUGUAGAUCAACAUGUUGAGGGGGAGCAUCAAGAUAAUAAUGAAGUUGAUGGGGAGCUUGAAGGUUCAGUUGAGGGGGAGUAUGAAAUUGAUGACAAUAUUUCAGUUGGUGAAACUGAAAACGAUGAAGUGUAUGAGGAUGCACCAUUAGACUUCGAUCCGACAUAUCCACCAAUGGAAAAAUGGACAAAAAGUCAUCCCAAAGAACAAGUCAUAAGGAAUCCUCAAGAUGGUGUGUUGACAAGAGCUCAGAUUCAUGCCAAAAAAUGAGGUACUGAAUGCGAAUCAAGAAUUGUGUAUGUUUAAUGUUUUUAUUUCGAAAAUAGAGCCAAAGACAGUAAAGAAUGCAAUGGAACACUCAGAUUGGGUUGUUGUCAUGCAAUCUGAAAUGGCUGAAUUUGAACGAAACAAGGUUUGGAGACUUAUUCCUAAACCUUCUGAUGUUUCGAUUGUCGGGCUAAAAUGGAUUUUCAAAAAUAAAACCAACAAAGAUGACAAUAUUAUUCGAAACAAGGCUAGGCUUGUAGUAAAAGGGUAUUCGCAACAAGAAGGAAUUGAUUAUGAAGAAACAUUCGCCCCUGUCGCAAGGCUCGAGGCAGUUCGCAUAUUUUUAGCCUAUACAGCUCACAAAAACUUUGAUGUUUAUCAAAUGGACGUUAAGUGCGCAUUCUUGAAUGGAGAGCUAGAAGAAACAGUCUAUGUCGAACAACUACCAUGCUUCGUAAGUAAGGAACAUCCUAAUCAUGUCUACAUUCUAGACAAAGCAGUUUAUGGGUUAAAAAAAGCACCAAGAGCAUGGUAUGCAACUCUUACCAAUUUCUUGAAACAGUCAAAAUUUAAGCAAGGAUCAGUUGAUCCCACACUAUUUCGAAAGAAAGUGGGUAAUCAUCUAAUGCUGGUUCAAAUUUAUGUUGAUGAUAUUAUUUUUGGCUCAACUGACGCUGCAUUGUCUACUGAAUUCGAAAAUCUUAUGAAAAGUCAAUUCGAAAUGAGCAUGAUGGGAAAAAUAAAUAAUUUUCUUGGUUUGAAUAUAAGAUAGAAUAAGGAUGAAAUUUUUAUCAAUCAAGAAAAAUACACGAAGAAUCUGCUCGAGAAGUUUGCAAUGAUGAACAGUACAAAGCUUAGAGUGCCAAUGGCAGUGGGAACAAGACUAACUCCUUUGUUAGAUGCUCCUGCUGUUGAUCUAACACUUUAUCGAAGCAUGAUAGGGUCUUUAUUGUACUUAACUUCAAGUAGGCCUGAUAUUAUGUUUUCAGUUUGUAAUUGUGCCAGGUAUCAAGAAAAUCCCAGAGAACCUCACUUAACUGUAGUGAAAAAUAUUUUUCGCUAUCUUAAGGGGACAAAUUCAUUAGGACUCUGGUAUCAUUCAAAUUCAGGAUUUUUCAUUCAAGAUUUUUUGGAUGCUGACCUAGGGGGAUGUACUUUAGAUCGAAAAAGUACGAGUGGUGGAUGUCAACUUUUGGAUGGGAAGCUGUUGAGUUGGCAGUCAAAGAAGCAAACUUGUGUUGCUAUCUCCACUGCUGAAGCAGAAUAUAUUCCGGCUGCUGCCUGUACUUCUCAAGCUAUAUGGAUCCAAAGUCAACUUCGAGAUUAUGCAAUAAAUAUGAAAAAGAUUCCAUUGUACUGUGAUUCUCAAUGUGCGAUUCGCAUUUGUCAUAAUCCUGUACAACACUUAGAGACAAAACACAUUGCUCUUCGAUAUCACUUUAUCAAAGAUCAUGUAGAGGAAGGGAAUAUUGAAGUACAUUUUGUUAAGACCACUGAACAACUUGCUGAUAUUUUUACUAAAGCUCUUGAUGAAAAAUCUUUUGUGAGAAUUUUAGCAGGUUUAGGUAUGCUCGAUGCGAAUUCAGUGCCAAAUAAUAUCACUCAAUGAUGAAAGAAGUUUGUCAAGUAAAGAAAUGCUCAUUCAGAGGAUCUGAGUCGGAAUCAUUCAGAGGUUAUUGUGCGUUAAGAGGCUUCGCAAUGGUUCGCAUUCGCAUUUUGGGUAACUUGAGUCCAUUUUUUUUUAGAAAACACGAAAAAUCAAAAAUAUUUUCUUUUGUUUGUAAUUUUUUUUUGAAAAAUGCAAAAACAACAAAAAGAUUUUCUUUUGUUUUGUCUUUCAUUUUAUAAAAAUAUAAAAUUCCAAAAAGAUUUUGUUUCUUUUCAAAAAUAUAAAAACACAAAAAGAUUUUUGUUCUUUUAGAUUUGUGUUUUUUCAGUACUAGUGGAAGCAAGAUUCGCAGAGAACAUGCUUAGUCUUCUAUUGAAAGGUAUCAUUUUUUUGAACUAUAUACUAGUUAGGGUGUCCCUAGAAGCAUGCUGCUGUAUGUCGACCUAAGCCUCAAAUGACUAUAUGUGUAUCAAACGAAAGCCUUAAUGAAAUUUUCAUACGAAAGUUUCUUCCCAAUUAGGCUUACAUUCGCAUAAGUCCAACAAGCUACCAUACUCUUCUCACAUGAGUUAAGAGUUUUCUGUUUGGUCCAAAAAUAAUAGAGGUACAUUCGAUCUUAUAACCAAUCUUUUUCGUCACAAAAUUUCUUAACACGAUGCACACACGAAAACACAUGUCCUUUAGAUCACUUAAUAAAACCAAUCAUGAUUAGACAUGUCAUCAAUCUGUGUUAAUGAUCAUAUUUCAUGAGUCCGUGAAGUAAGUAAAACCAAAAAUUCUCACACAUUAAGGAAUUGACGGGGAAUCAUGUUCCAGAUUUUUAUGAAACAUUUGUUUCUGUACCCGGUAUUUCAUAUACUCCAAAUCAUAUUCUUUCGCAUGAGUGGUCCUGAUCAAAUAUUCGAAGCCCACAAUGUUUGUUUCCCAACAGGAUCCAACACUUAAUUUUUUUAUAUGACUAUGAUUUCCGUGUGAGUAUAUAUCUGAAUCCGUUGUCACUUUUCAAAAUGAUCCAAAGCAAACUUGUCCUUGAUCACAAUGAUCAAACAAGUAAUUUCGGUUACAAUUACUCACCUUAUGUUUAGAUUGAUAUGUAAUGAAAUUCGCAUAACCACCAAGUCAAGCCUAUAAAAGAAGCCCUUCGAUACUUCUCUACAAGUAGUCGAUUGUAUAUCACGGGAACAUACGAAAGCAGUUGAUUACCUCUCUUGGUAAUUAACGAAGUAACCUUUUCCCAGGGUUUUACUGCUUCGUGUCACUAAAAUUUGACAUCACAGAAUCCUAAAUUUUUCUUAAAAUUUCUUCUUAUCUCAUUCGUUUGACUCACAUGCACUCACGAAAUCCUUGAGGUUCUAAGUACUACCAACUUAGGCUGAUGAUUUCAAAAGUCUGGCAUAUGACUUCGUUUAACAUCCCAUAAAUGAAAGAGCCUAACCUCAAAAAUGAAGGGUUCAUUUUUGACAACUGAGAUUGCGAAGGGUUUAAAGUAACUGUUGGCCCUAGUUCCAAGGCAUUUAAUAGGGCAUGAUCAUUACAACGGCGCGUAAUUACAAGUUUUCAGGAACACGUAAGCUAGUCUCUAAUUCUUAAACGGUUCAACUUUGGGGAAAUAUAUAAAAAGGGAAUUUUUCACUGUAAUCUUUACGCGAUUCAUAAUUCUCAGACGAACAAAAGCCCUAUAAUUUUUCUCUCAAGAUAUUCCCAAGUUUUCAAAAAUGGCAGCCAAUCAAUCCAACACUAAAGAAAUUGUCUCACAACCUCUGAUGAAAAUCCAAAGUACCAAUUAUUAGGUUGAUGCUGUUGUGUCAACAUAUCCAGAGGAGUUGAAGAUGUUGAUUGUUGCUCUGAAAAGAUCACCUUUAGCUACGGUGAUGUUUAAUUCUUUUUCUGUUCCGAUGACCUGGUUAUCAAUGGCGGCUUCCACAGCAUCAUACAACAAAGCAAUAGACAUUAUCACUUUCAACCUGGUGAAUGAUAAAAGGAUUCAAUUGACAAAGUUGAUGUUCAUCAGUUUCUUGGAAAUUCCUAACUCAACCCCAUUCUUCAAACCUCAUAAUGCCUAGAUUAUUCAUAUGUUCAAUGAGAUGGGGCAUCAACCACCAUUGGACAAAAUCAGUGAUUUCAGAAAGUCAGGCUUGCCAUGUAUGUGGAAUUUUCUCUUUGGAAUUUUCCUCAGAUGCUUAACAGGACGAAGUGUAGCUCUUGACAGAGGAAGGAUGGAAGUGUAUGCGAUGGUAAUGGGGUUAUACUAUGAUCUCAGUGUGGAUUAUGGGACUCAAUUAUGGAAAGAAUUCAUUAAGAGUCUUGAAAAUACAACUAUAGAAAGGGGAUUUCAUGUGCUCGUUAUUGGAGCUUAAUUCUUCAAAAAGUCUAUGAAAAAGUCGGAAUUCAAGUUCCUGAAGGUGCAGAGGUUGUAGAGUUUACCAAGUAUCAAUGUCCUAAGGUGGUGGAGGAUGAUGAAAACUUUUUUACAAACAUUGCGAAAAUUCCUGAUACACUGCUUCGCAAAGUACAUUCUUCGCAUUAAGUGCUCAUCAGAUAUAUGAAUACUAUCAAUCCAAAUGUUCAAACUGGAGUUUUAUUGAAUGUUGAAGGUGGGUCUUCCAAACAAGCAAAGAAGUUGAAGACUGAGGAACAAACAAAGACUGAAUUACCUAAGUCUUCAGUAGGGGAAGAUAUUCAGACGGUGGUUGGAUCUGAGAAGCCUACGAAGGAGAUUAUUCCUUCAAAAUUAGGAGUUUUAAAGAAGCUUCACAAAUUGUCUCACAAGCGGACUUCUUCUGAUGAUUCUCCAACAAUUCACAAAACAUAAGUCAGUAGUAAGGGAAUUGUUAUCAGAGAAAUUCCUCCACCUACUUCUCCAAUGUCCAAGAAAAGGCGGGCCCAUGAUGUUGCGCAGCACAUUACUGGGAAGUUGUAUAAGAAGAGGAAACUUGUUGUUAGAGAUGGCUCUUCAGAAGAUGAAGUUGUUCCUGAAACUCCGAUUGUUUCGACUUCUCCGAUGGUAACUACUUCCAUUAUCUCUUCAACUAUCACUUCGCAUGUUUCUACCACAACUACAGUUCCACUCGAAGUAGUCUCUACUGAAUCAUUUAAUGAGGAGGUACCUACUUCUGAUAUGGUUUUCAAUGUAUCUGAUACGGGGGCACCUAUCACGAGUGUCGACACAUCAUUACCUAUUGUUUUGUCCACUUUGUUACCUAUUUCAUCUGAAAGCUUAAACACUUCGUUACCACCAUUUCCCAUUCCAAACCCAUGUGUUACCAUUUCACCCAUUUUUGAUCAUGUUUUGAAACAUCCUUUUACAACUUUAUUUCCAUCUCAAUCCCCUGAGGAUCCACAACCUAUAACUUCUCAAGCUCAUUCCGAUGAUGAAACAGAAGGAGGUGGUUUCGGAGGAACAUUUGAAGAAUUACACUUUGAUUCAGAGGAGGAGGAGAUACCUGACCACAUGCUUAUGUCGGGUAAACAAUUCAAAAUCUUGAAUCGCAAAUUAAAUACCAUCCUUCAGUCACAAGCUGAAUUUGGUACGAAGCAUUCACUUUCUGGUACGGAGGUUGAUGCGAUGAUCAAAGCAGAUGAAAAAAGAUUGCUUGAGAAGAUUGACUGAAAUGAUAAAAACAAUGAGCUUCGGCUGAAAGCUCAAGGGAAAAAUUUUGAUGGUGCCUUACAAGAACUGAAAAAUGUUGCAAAAGAACGACAUGUUCUCUUUGUCCAUGAUGUCAAGAAAGUAAGGGAGGAUGUAAACUUGAAAGUCGAAGAAUUGAAGCAAGAGAUGGCAAAAGAGCUUCAACAUCUAACUUCGCAAAAUUUGAUAGUGCAAGAGCGUGUUGAUAUUAUGGCAGAAGCACUUACAAAGAUUGUUAAAGACUUUCAAGCAAUUGUGCCAACUAUCGAAGCUAAGAGCAAACAUGACAAGGAGCAGUUCGCUAAGCUGAUUGAGUUGUUAGCUGAACUUAAAGCUAUUGUGUCCAAGCCAACUUCGCAAACAAUUUUAACUCCUGAAUUUCUUACAUUGAAAGUUACUUCGUUGGAGCAGGCAAUUCAAAAGGCUUUGGCUCCCAUAACGAAUUUUACUUCUCUUUUGCCAAAGAAUGCCCCACCUGCUUUCAAAGGGGUGCAAGGGGGAGAAGUAAAAGGAAGUAAAGGGGAGGAUGCGAAAGUUGUUGGGAAAGUGUAUUCAACUCAACUGAAAACGACAUUACCUGUGAAUACCAACUCAAUUCCUUCAACAGUGGUAACAUCAAAACCAAUUACAAAAGCAAUUCCUAAAGGAAUUAAAAUUGGUUCGACAUAUAAAGGAAGCUCUAAUGCGAAGACUAAUACUUCAAAUGUUGGGAAAGGAAAGGGUAUUGCUUAUGAAAAGUCGAAGGAGGAGAGAAAUGCUGAAAUUGAAGCUGAAAUAGAGAAACAGAGACAUAUUCAAAGCAUACUGAGGCUAAGAGAAAAUGAUCCACCAACAAUGAACAAAGGAGAUCCUGCAAAGUUAUACUCUUUUGAAUCAAUUGAAUCUAGAGUGUUGGGGAAUCAUAUGUAUGAUUUUGAGAAAAAGCCAAGGAAAAGUUAUGCCACUUCGAACUCUGACAUGUGGCAACUAGACUUCCCAAUCAAUGAAAUGAUGUUUAUUACUGCUCAGUACAAGGUCAGUGAAAGAUUCAAAGAUCCUGAUGAGUACACAUACUUGAAAAUUAGAUUUCAUGUUGUGCUUGGGAAUAAUCAAGAUGAAGUAUGGUCUUUGGUAAAGAUAAAAAGGGUAACUGCUUUCAAGAAAGAUGUCAUGUUCAAGAAUCUACUUCAUAACUUUCGUUAUUUUGUAGUUCGAGCAGACAAUAAACCUUUUGAUUUCUCAAUUGCUGAUUUUCCCUUGAUGAAUCUCAAUGAUCUCAUUCAAGUGGCCCUGAUUCUGAAGGAUAUGGAAGAAAACCAACUGAAGGAAACUGAUUUGGAUGUGUUCAGACUUGGUUUAGGGCAUCUCAAGAUAUUCAUAGAUAAUUACUAUGAUUGCUUGGCCUUAACUGAUGAAGAACUUGCUUCAGGAGUUGGAAGAAAGGUUAAUGUUGCUAUGGAACCUACGAAGCCACAACAGGAGUUGAUGAAUAUGUCCGAUGGUGAAAUUUGUCUCAAACCAUUAGGCAUGGUGUUCGCAGGGAAAGAUACAAGGGGAAAAGCAAAGAGAUUCUUGUUUCAAGUUGCAGAGAUUGAAAAAUAUACAACUUCGCAAUAUACGAACUUUAUUGUUCGUAUGAAUAACUGUACCAAGAAUAAUGAUGGAGACAGGAAGGAGCUGAAGAAGAUAAUCUCUUGGUACUCAGAGAUACGAAGGACAAUGCACUCUGUUGCUCAAGUUCUCACAAAUUGAGUGACUUCGACUGUUUACAAAGGGGGAGAAUGUUGAGUCUUUUUGUUGUAAAAGUUGAAACUUUGUCUUGUCUAUUUCGCAUGUUUAUUUACUAAGUCAUCUAAUGUCGAAGCUUAAAUGUCUAGACUUAGUAUUUAUUGUACACUCAUGUUUCCUAUAAAUAGGGACUGAGGAUAGAAGUAGAGAUAGAGGUCAUUCUGCUUAUUGUAAUCAGUAUUGUAUUCGAAUUCUCUGUUCAAUACAAAAUUUGCUGAUUAAUUUUUACAUCUGGUGUUCAUUUCAUUCAUUACUCAUUCAUCUAAAUCAUGAUUGCUUUCGAAAUCUCGAUUACAAUUCUCAUCACUUAUGGCCCUUCCUAAUUUCUCCGAUAAUCCGAUUGUGGAACCUACUGAUUUCUCCAAUAGUCCGAUUUUUGAACCACAAAGUCAAGAUAGAAGUCAAAAUUCACUGUACCUAAACCUUCCUCCCCCAUUUUCGUUAUUUGCUAGCCUGCUCAUCGUUGUUGUUGGACGCCUGCAGCUUACCUAGCACCACAGCAACUGUCUACCAACGAUUGUCCACCCGCCGGUUACCGCAACUCAAAAAAUCAGGUAUGGAAUGCUCCUGUUCUUUCUUUCAGUUCUUAUCUUAUUAUCCAGUUCUUUCAGUUUCAUCUCUUCUUUGAUUUCUAAAUUUGAAUUUAUUGAAUUGUUCCUGAGUGACUGAGUUAGGAAUUAGCCAAUUAGGAAUGCUCAUGUUCUUUGCUUCUUAUUGUGAAUUGUAGGUUGAGUUAGGAAUCAACUAAUUUCAAUUUCAGUUUCACUUUUCACAAUCUGUUAAAUGCAUUGAUGAUUGUUAGUUUCUUAGUUGUUACAGAUUUUAGUUCAUUAUGAAAAUUGAUUCUGAGGCUUCAGGGGAAGUUGGAAUGGCUUAAAAAUGGGUUUAGGAGUGAAAAGUAUGAAAUUUGCUAACCUUAGCUGGUAGGAUUCGCACCCUCCUAUUUAUAGGUGCGAACCGAGGGUCUUCGGCCGAAUUAGAGAAGCACGUGGCAGCAGCCGAAGCGAGGCAGGUGGCGGGUGCGAGGGCGAGACACGCGGCGGACAGCUGGCUUCGGACACUACACGCGUCGGACUUGCAAGGCACGCGUUGGAAUUCGGUUGGACCGCGCAUCGGAUGAGUCGCCUACUCGGACACGGGGCAAGCUGCCAGCGAGGGUGAUGUGACCGAACCCUGGCCAUGCGAAAUUUCUCGGUUCUCCUGAUUUCUCGGAUUUUGUGUCCCGAACUUCAAAAAUCUAUAACUUUCACAUACGAGCUCCAUUUUUGAUGUUCUUUAUAUGCACGCGUAGGUGAAAUUAUGCUCUACAACUUUUGUUUAGACUCCGUUGGCUAAUUUUGAAUUUAUUAUUAUUAUUAUAUUUUUAAAAGGCCAGGACAUGAAAAGUCUGUUAAAAAUUCAUAACUUCUUCAUCCGAUGUCCAUUUUCGUCUGUCUUUUUACCGUUGUACUACCAUUGACGAGACCUUCGAUUCUCGUUUAGCUUGCGUCGGCUAAAAAUCACUUGAUCUUUAUUUCGAGUUUUUAGCUAUCUACUGUUAUUCCAAAAUUUAGAAAAAUCAUCACUUCCUCAUACGAAGUCAGAUUUGGAUGUUCUUUUUAUGAAAAUUCUCGGUUUAACGAGGACUAUGACUUUCAUUUAGAUCACUAAGGAUAAAAAGUAGUUUAUUGAAAACUCACUUUUUACGCUAAUAGUGUUUGCCGGUUUUGUUGCGGAUCUUUGAUUGGUCAUAAUUUCUUCGUUAUAACUUGGAUUUCGAUAAAGUUUUUGUCUAAAUGUUUCUAACGAGAUUCUUUACAACUUUCAAUAAUAAAAUUUUACUUAUUUCAAAUUUUAUAUUUCGUUAAAUUUCAAUAUUUGACAUUUGAUUGGAAUCUCAUAAGACUUUCAAUAUUUUCCGAGUGAUUCUAAAUAUAGUUUUUCUUCAUUUCUAGUAAAAACCAUCAGUUAGAACUUAACACUCAAUAUCAUAUAAUAUUUGAUAGUAUUAUUUAUUUUUAAACUACAAACACGAUAACUGAACGUGUAUGUUACAAUAAGUCAAAAUCAUAAGUUAAAAUACAAAUUAAUUGAAAUAUAGAACAACAUUAGAUACAUGUGAAUACAUAAAAACAAAAAACACAUAAUGGUCUCACUUUGUAAAUAAUUAAUGAAAAUUUAAGAUAUUUAUGUUGUAAUAAUCAGAUAUGUGUGUGUUAAAUAAUAAAUCAUUAAGUAUAUUAUACAUAUUAAUCACCGAUUUGACCGAGGUUUACAACACCGCUUAGUUCAGUAAGGGGCCGAUCGGAGAGCACUCGAGAUUCUUCAACUCGCCUCGGUAAGGGGACGAGUAGCGAGUACUCGGAGGAGUAAUCGGACAACCCGACGAGUUUUACAACAUUGGCCCAUAUAACUACAAAAAUUGUAAUUUUAAGCCAGCUAUUGUGAAAAUUGGGUUGUGGGCUGGUGUCCCCUUCUGAUUUCUCCCAUAAUCCGAUUGUGGACCUUCUUGAUUUCUCCAAUAGCCCGAUUUUUAAACCACAAAGUCAAGAUAGAAGUCAAAAUCCAUAGUAUCUAAACCUUUUGCCCCUAUUGUGGCUACUCGCUAGCCCGCUCGUCGUUGUUGUUGGACGUUUACAUCUUGCAUCUUACCUGGACACUUGGUCUCACCAUUCACCACCACAACAAUUGUCUGCAGAAGACAAUCCACCCUCGAAGACGUCAAAGCGGGUGGCUUUUAUUCAGUUCAUUUUACGGGUGACAGAAGACGAUAAAGAUGGUUGUGACCUUGUCUUGUUGUUUGGUGGAAAAGCGCUAUCGGAAUAAGCUUGAUUAAAGAGGUCGAGGUUAUCAAAAGAGAGAACAAGGUGUCGAUGGUUAAAGAAGGAGUUCAAUGACGUAUCAAGAAGGUGAUUAAACACUACUGUGAACGAAUGGUAUGACCACACCGAUUAAGGGGAUGAUUGUUGGGUUAAUCGACUUUUAGCAAUAGGAAAGUUUCCUUUUUUAUUACUCUUUUAAGUUUAUUCUUGCAUGUUUAUGAGUCCAAUUAGGUUUCAAAAUUCAAAUUAUUAGUAUAACGAGUCUUUUAAACUAUAGUAUAAAUAGGCACAUAUGUUAGGAAUUUCCCCUUCUGUUAUUAAUAAAGCUUGAACAUCCAACAAAGUUGCAAAUAUCCGUUUUUUUUUCUCUUCUCUUCCCUUGUUUUUACAUGUUGAUUACAUUUAGUUAUUGUUACAAAAUACUCUUCUAGCGUACUUGAACUUGCUAAUCCGUUGAAGUGUUCAAUAUUUAAGCUUGCAUUUGUAAAUUGUCUGCCCAUUACAAAUAAUAUAACAACACCACAGUUUUGCGAAAUAUCACACAAAAACAAAGAAAAUAUCUUUUAGAUAGAUUACAUUACAUGACAUAAGACGAACAAGAAAAUAAAAAAUUCAUCAUGUAUUGCUAAAUCAACAAUCGAUGUUUAAUUGAUCUAGAUCUUAAAAUGCAAAAGAGGAGAAGUGCCAUCAAUUCCUUUUGCUCUGUAGUAAUCCACAUAUUCUUUCGCUGUUGUGCCUCUAUACUUGGCUGGAUUAUCUUUCGAAAGCAACUCCUUGAUUGGUUCAAUAACUUGCAAGGUCUCACUCAUAAAGAACGAUGCCACUGAUACUCUUGGACCAACCUUGUUUGCCACCACCUUGUGUCGUGAACUCACAAACUUGUCAUUUGUAACUAGCUAAAUUAUUCCAUUGAUUGUAAUCAGUGAUGGAUUAAAAAAAAAUAGGGGAUGCAAGUAGCGGAUGAGCAUAUAUGUAAUACUAUUAUAACUUUUUAGAGUCGCCAACUCACACAUACUCUACACCUUUCAUCCGGACCCUCAAUCUUUGGUUGAUGGGAUCUUUCUAUUAAUUCCUAAUACGGUAGGGCCAUAAGUUCUUUGGUAUGAAAUAUUAAUAUUAAAUGAGAAUUUUUUUUCAUAAAAAGACCGACACUUCAUAUAAAAAAGAUUAAUUGAUGCAGUUGCAUAC
Molecule: long non-coding RNA, 70733 nt
Filed under: Lactuca sativa (garden lettuce)
Lineage: Eukaryota; Viridiplantae; Streptophyta; Magnoliopsida; Asterales; Asteraceae
Description: long non-coding RNA (LSAT_LNC002971)
Source: RNAcentral